ACGUACCAGUUGAAGCUUGGUGGGCGGUGGCUAGUGAUGACUUGUGUGGCCAGUCUUCUCUAGUGUGUCUUGUCUUGCCCUUGUGAGAGCAUCUAUCGCAGGGAUUAGAUGAAGUUGAGAGACAUGUCUUGUUGUCUUGGUUUGGGUGAAUAUAUACUGCAUUUUGAGCUUCAGAUAUGUGUGAUGGGUUGGGAAACCUGAGUUUUAAUUGAAUGUUGUCAUGCCAUCCGACAAUGUCAUAAUUUGCCCUUGCAUUUCGAUUACACUUGGAACUUAUUUUGUUGAGUUUUUCGACUUCUCCAUCUACAUGAAAAAUGUGCACCUCUGUUUGUGUUUCUUCAUUUAAUGCUGAGAUACAUGUAAGCUCGCAUAAAUUAAUGUUGCAACUUUCUUGAAAGAGCUGUUUUAUUUUAAGAAUGCUAAAGAAGUAUUCAAGUUUUUUUGAAAGGUUUGUAGUAUUUGUUUAAGAGCACUAAAUGGUACUAUAUAUAUCGCGCUAUUCGUCACCCUGGGUGAGAAAUAGUUAUUCUUCACCCCUUCUCUAUUUUGACAUCGAUGCACCGUAUUUUUACGUUUCAUAAUUUUUUUCUUAUUUCAUACAUAAAAAGAGAACCUAAAAAAGUAUGUACUCACAGUAAAAAAUUAUGUAAAAUUAUGAAUGUAAAAACAUAAUAUAAAACACACAUAAAAUAUAAUUUUUCUGGUAUUAUAACCUACUCCCUCCGUCCCAUAAUGUAAGACGUUUUUUGGCACUACACUAGUGUUAAAAAACGUCUUAUAUUAUGGGACGGAGAGAGUAUAUUUUUGUGUUUUUAUACCAAAUUUUACAUAUUGAAUCAAUAUGUAUGUAACUAUUUAUAUUCUAAACAUAAUUUAUUUAGGAAGCGGUCGUUAGAUUACCUCGGGUGAAGAAUAACUUAUUCUGCACCUGGAUGACGAAUAGUAACAUGUUAAAAUAUUCAAAAUGUCUUAUAACUCAGAACAGAGUUGAUACUCCCAAAAAGUAGUCUAGUUUAAAAAUGCUACAAGUUGGCUACUACCUACGUCCUGAUUUAUUAGUCCCCUUUCGUAAUCUAUGUCACAUUUUGAUCUUAAAUUUAACUAACAAAAUGUUAAUGCAUGUCAUAAAAGAUAAUAUAAUUGAAAACCAUGUUCAAAUAUUUUGUUAGUUAAAUCUCUAGUCAAAAUUUGGCCUAAAAUACAAAGGGAACUUAUAAACCAAGACGGAGGUAGUACAUGCUAAAAUAGAAAAAACUACUCCCUCCAUUCCAUAAUGUAAGACGUUUUAUGGCACUACACUAGUGUUAAAAAACGUCUUAUAUUAUCGGACGGGGAGAGUAUAUUUUUGUGUUUUUAUACCAAAUUUUACAUAUUGAAUCAAUAUGUAUGUAACUAUUUAUAUUCUAAACUUAAUUUUUUUAGAAAGCGGUCAUAAGAUUACCUCGGGUGAAGAAAAUAACUUAUUCUGCACCUGGAUGACGAAUAGUAACAUGUUAAAAUAUUCAAAAUAUCUUAUAACUCAGAACAGAGGUGAUACUCCCCAAAAGAAGUGGUCUAGUUUAAGAAUGCUACUUGUUGGCUACUACCUACGUCCUGAUUUAUUAGUCCCCUUUCGUAAUCUAUGCCACAUUUUGAUCCUAAAUUUAACUAACAAAAUGCUAAUGCAUGUCAUAAAAGAUAUUAUAAUUGAAAACUAUGUUCAAAUAUUUUGUUAGUUAAAUCUCUAAUCAAAAUUUGGCCUAAAAUACAAAGGGACUUAUAAACCAGGACGGAGGUAGUACAUGCUAAAAUAGAAAAAACCACUCCCUCCGUUCCAUAAUGUAAGACGUUUUUUGGCACUACACUAGUGUUAAAAAACAUCUUAUAUUAUGGGACGGAGAGAGUAUAUUUUUGUGUUUUUAUACCAAAUUUUACAUAUUGAAUCAAUAUGUAUGUAACUAUUUAUAUUCUAAACGUAAUUUAUUUAGCAAUCGGUCGUAAGAUUACCUCGGGUGAAGAAUAACUUAUUCUGCACCUGGAUGACGAAUAGUAACAUGUUAAAAUAUUCAAAAUGUCUUAUAACUCAGAACAGAGGUGAUACUCCCCAAAAGAAGUGGUCUAGUUUAAGAAUGCUACAAGUUGGCUACUACCUCCGUCCUGAUUUAUUAGUCCCCUUUCGUAAUCUAUGCCACAUUUUGAUCUUAAAUUUAACUAACAAAAUGUUAAUGCAUGUCAUAAAAGAUAAUAUAAUUGAAAACUAUGUUCAAAUAUUUUGCUAGUUAAAUCUCUAGUCAAAAUUUGGCCUAAAAUACAAAGGGAACUUAUAAACCAGGACGGAGGUAGUACAUGCUAAAAUAGACAAAACUACUCCCUCCGUUCCAUAACAUAAGACGUUUUUUGGCACUACACUAGUGUUAAAAAACGUCUUAUAUUAUGGGACGGAGAGAGUAUAUUUUUGUGUUUUUAUACCAAAUUUUACAUAUUGAAUCAAUAUGUACGUAACUAUUUAUAUUCUAAACGUAAUUUAUUUAGGAAGCGGUCGUAAGAUUACCUCGGGUGAAGAAUAACUUAUUCUGCACCUGGAUGACGAAUAGUAACAUGUUAAAAUAUUCAAAAUGUGCUAUAACUCAGAACAGAGGUGAUACUCCCCAAAAGAAGUGGUCUAGUUUAAGAAUGCUACUUGUUGGCUACUACCUCCGUCCUGAUUUAUUAGCCCCCUUUCGUAAUCUAUGCCACAUUUUGAUCUUAAAUUUAACUAACAAAAUGCUAAUGCAUGUCAUAAAAGAUAAUAGAAUUGAAAACUAUGUUCAAAUAUUUUGUUAGUUAAAUGUCUUGUCAAAAUUUGGCCUAAAAUAAAAAAGGGAACUUAUAAACCAGGACGGAGGUAGUACAUGCUAAAACAGAAAAAACUACUCCCUCCGUUCCAUAAUGUAAGACGUUUUUGGCACAACACUAGUGUUAAAAAACAUCUUAUAUUAUGGGACGAAGAGAGUAUAUUUUUGUGUUUUUAUACCAAAUUUUACAUAUUGAAUCAAUAUGUAUGUAACUAUUUAUAUUCUAAACGUAAUUUACUUAGGAAGCGGUCGUAAGAUUAUCUCGGGUGAAGAAUAACUUAUUCUGCACCUGGAUGACGAAUAGUAACAUGUUAAAAUAUUUAAAAUGUCUUAUAACUCAGAACAGAGGUGAUACUCCCCAAAAGAAGUGGUCUGGUUUAAGAAUGCUACUUGUUGGCUACUACAUCUGUCCUGAUUUAUUAGUCCCCUUUCGUAAUCUAUGCCAUAUUUUGAUCUUAAAUUUAACUAACAAAAUGUUAAUGCAUGUCAUAAAAGAUAAUAUAAUUGAAAACUAUGUUCAAAUAUUUUGUUAGUUAAAUCUCUUGUCAAAAUUUGGCCUAAAAUACAAAGGGAACUUAUAAACCAGGACGGAGGUAGUACAUUCUAAAAAAGAAAAAACUACUUCCUCCGUUCCAUAAUGUAAGACGUUUUUUGGCACUACACUAGUGUUAAAAACGUCUUAUAUUAUGGGACGGAGAGAGAGAGUAUAUUUUUGUGUUUUUAUACCAAAUUUUACAUAUUGAAUCAAUAUGUACGUAACUAUUUAUAUUCUAAACGUAAUUUAUUUAGGAAGUGGUCGUAAGAUUACCUCGGGUGAAGAAUAACUUAUUCUGCACCUGGAUGACGAAUAGUAACAUGUUAAAAUAUUCAAAAUGUCUUAUAACUCAGAACAGAGGUGAUACUCCCCAAAAGAAGUGGUCUAGUUUAAGAAUGCUACUUGUUAGCUACUACCUCCGUCCUGAUUUAUUAGUCCCCUUUCGUAAUCUAUGCCACAUUUUGAUCUUAAAUUUAACUAACAAAAUGUUAAUGCAUGUCAUAAAAGAUAAUAUAAUUGAAAACUAUGUUCAAAUAUUUUGUUAGUUAAAUCUCUAGUCAAAAUUUGGCCUAAAAUACAAAGGGAACUUAUAAACCAGGACGGAGGUAGUACAUGCUAAAACAGAAAAAACUACUCCUUCCGUUCUAUAAUGUAAGACGUUUUUUGGCACUACACUAGUGUUAAAAACAUCUUAUAUUAUGGGACGGAGAGAGUAUAUUUUUGUGUUUUUAUACCAAAUUUUACAUAUUGAAUCAAUAUGUAUGUAACUAUUUAUAUUCUAAACGUAAUUUAUUUAGAAAGCGGUCGUAAGAUUACCUCGGGUGAAGAAUAACUUAUUCUGCACCUGGAUGACGAAUACUAACAUGUUAAAAUAUUCAAAAUGUCCUAUAACUCAGAACAGAGGUGAUACUCCUCAAAAGAAGUGGUCUAGUUUAAGAAUGCUACUUGUUGGUUACUACCUCCGUCUUGAUUUAUUAGCCCCCUUUCGUAAUCUAUGCCACAUUUUGAUCUUAAAUUUAACUAACAAAAUGCUAAUGCAUGUCAUAAAAGAUAAUAGAAUUGAAAACUAUGUUCAAAUAUUUUGUUAGUUAAAUGUCUUGUCAAAAUUUGGCCUAAAAUAAAAAAGGGAACUUAUAAACCAGGACGGAGGUAGUACAUGCUAAAACAGAAAAAACUACUCCCUCCGUUCCAUAAUGUAAGACGUUUUUGGCACAACACUAGUGUUAAAAAACAUCUUAUAUUAUGGGACGGAGAGAGUAUAUUUUUGUGUUUUUAUACCAAAUUUUACAUAUUGAAUCAAUAUGUAUGUAACUAUUUAUAUUCUAAACGUAAUUUACUUAGGAAGCGGUCGUAAGAUUAUCUCGGGUGAAGAAUAACUUAUUCUGCACCUGGAUGACGAAUAGUAACAUGUUAAAAUAUUUAAAAUGUCUUAUAACUCAGAACAGAGGUGAUACUCCCCAAAAGAAGUGGUCUGGUUUAAGAAUGCUACUUGUUGGCUACUACAUCUGUCCUGAUUUAUUAGUCCCCUUUCGUAAUCUAUGCCAUAUUUUGAUCUUAAAUUUAACUAACAAAAUGUUAAUGCAUGUCAUAAAAGAUAAUAUAAUUGAAAACUAUGUUCAAAUAUUUUGUUAGUUAAAUCUCUUGUCAAAAUUUGGCCUAAAAUACAAAGGGAACUUAUAAACCAGGACAGAGGUAGUACAUUCUAAAAAAGAAAAAACUACUUCCUCCGUUCCAUAAUGUAAGACGUUUUUUGGCACUACACUAGUGUUAAAAACGUCUUAUAUUAUGGGACGGAGAGAGAGUAUAUUUUUGUGUUUUUAUACCAAAUUUCACAUAUUGAAUCAAUAUGUACGUAACUAUUUAUAUUCUAAACGUAAUUUAUUUAGGAAGCGGUCGUAAGAUUACCUCGGGUGAAGAAUAACUUAUUCUGCACCUGGAUGACGAAUAGUAACAUGUUAAAAUAUUCAAAAUGUCUUAUAACUCAGAACAGAGGUGAUACUCCCCAAAAGAAGUGGUCUAGUUUAAGAAUGCUACUUGUUAGCUACUACCUCCGUCCUGAUUUAUUAGUCCCCUUUCGUAAUCUAUGCCACAUUUUGAUCUUAAAUUUAACUAACAAAAUGUUAAUGCAUGUCAUAAAAGAUAAUAUAAUUGAAAACUAUGUUCAAAUAUUUUGUUAGUUGAAUCUCUAGUCAAAAUUUGGCCUAAAAUACAAAGGGAACUUAUAAACCAGGACGGAGGUAGUACAUGCUAAAACAGAAAAAACUACUCCUUCCGUUCUAUAAUGUAAGACGUUUUUUGGCACUACACUAGUGUUAAAAACAUCUUAUAUUAUGGGACGGAGAGAGUAUAUUUUUGUGUUUUUAUACCAAAUUUUACAUAUUGAAUCAAUAUGCAUGUAACUAUUUAUAUUCUAAACGUAAUUUAUUUAGAAAGCGGUCGUAAGAUUACCUCGGGUGAAGAAUAACUUAUUCUGCACCUGGAUGACGAAUAGUAACAUGUUAAAAUAUUCAAAAUGUCUUAUAACUCAGAACAGAGGUGAUACUCCCGAAAAGAAGUGGUCUAGUUUAAGAAUGUUACUUGUUGGCUACUACCUCCGUCCUGAUUUAUUAGUCCCCUUUCGUAAUCUAUGCCACAUUUUGAUCUUAAAUUUAACUAACAAAAUUUUAAUGCAUGUCAUAAAAGAUAAUAUAAUUGAAAAUUAUGUUCAAAUAUUUUGUUAGUUAAAUCUCUAGUCAAAAUUUGGCCUAAAAUACAAAGGGAACUUAUAAACCAGGACGGAAGUAGUACAUGCUAGAACAGAAAAAACUACUCCCUCCGUUCCAUAAUGUAAGACGUUUUUUGGCACUACACUAGUGUUAAAAAAUGUCUUAUAUUAUAGGACGGAGAGAGUAUAUUUUUUUGUUUUUAUACCAAAUUUUACAUAUUGAAUCAAAAUGUAUGUAACUAUUUAUAUUCUAAACGUAAUUUAUUUAGGAAGCGGUCGUAAGAUUACCUCGGGUGAAGAAUAACUUAUUCUGCACCUGGAUGACGAAUAGUAACAUGUUAAAAUAUUCAAAAUGUCUUAUAACUCAGAACAGAGGUGAUACUCCUCAAAAGAAGUGGUCUUGUUUAAGAAUGCUACAUGUUGGCUACUACCUCCGUCCUGAUUUAUUAGUCCCUUUCGUAAUCUAUGCCACAUUUCGUAAUCUAUACCUAGAGGGGGGGGGGGUGAAUAGGCAACUAACAAUUUUUAAGCUUUUCUUUACCAAAUUAAACUUUGCAACAAAAUAGGUUGUCUAGAUAUGCAACUAUGUGAGCAACCUAUAUGAUGCAAUAACAACUAACACAAGAGCAAGCAAGGGAUACAACACAAGUAGGCUUGCAAGAGUAAAGGCACGAAAUAACCAAGAGUGGAGCCGUUGGAGACGAGGAUGUGUUACCGGAGUUCCUUCCUUUUAAGGGGAAGUACGUCUCUAUUAGAGCGGUGUAGAGGCACAAUGCUCCCCAAGAAGCCACUAGGGCCACCAUAUUCUCCUCACGCCCUCACACAAUGCGAGAUGCCAUGAUUCCACUAUUGGUGCCCUUGAAGGCGGCAACCGGACCUUUACAAACAAGGUUGGGGCAAUCUCCACAACAAUUGGAGGCUCCCAAUGAAACUACGAAGCUUCACCACAAUGGAAUAUGGCCUCGAGGUGACCUCAACCAUCUAGGGUGCUCAAACACCCAAGAGUAACAAAAUACACACUAGAAAGUAUGCGGGAAGUAAAUAUCCUUUGGUGAAAGUGUAGAUCUAGGUCUCCUCCUUCAAACCCUAGCAAAUCAACAAGUUUGAGUGGCUAGAGAGAGUGAUCGGGCAAGAGAGCUUGAGAGCAUCAAUAGUGGAGUGAGAGAGGGGUAAGAGGUGGGCGUGGUAGGUAGAGGAACCACCUUAUAUAGCAGCCCACUAAAAUCCAACCGUUACUGCGUUUUCAGUACUGCAGCGGUACAACCGCUCCUUGUCCUGGUACAACCGGGACUCACGAUGUAGCUGCAGAACCCUACCAGGCGGUACAACCGGGCCAUCGGGCAGUAGUACCGGUCAUUAGCAAAUAACCGGACCAACCGCCCAGCCACCGCACAACUACCGCACCGAAACAGAACGGAGUCACCCUUGAGGGCGGUAGUUGGGCGGUGCAGGGCCGGUGCAACCGCCUGGCCUUGAUCGGUUGAGCGGCUAAGGAAUGAGCGGAAGAACCGCUCGAACCUCCGGUUGUACCGGUUGAAAAGGAACAACCGGACCAACCGGGCCACCACCGCCCAGCCACUGCAUCAGAACAGAAGCCUGACCGGUACAUGGGCGGUGCAUGGCCGGAAUAACCGCUGCUGGUCAUUGUAGAGAUAGGUGGCGGUACCACCGCCCGGAGGCAGCGGUACCACCGCUCGACAAUGGCAGAGAAGCGUCAGGAGCCAGCGGUACUACCACUCGGACGAGCGGUACAACCGCUGGGAAUACACAACAAAGAUUAGAUUAAAAUGGAGGCACUCUCUCGACAAGAAGAGGGGUGAUGGAGGUGUACGAGAAUGAAAUCCCCUAUUCUUUCCAAAGUGGAUUCCCUCUUGAUAGUACGGGAUCCCUACGACCAAAGAGAUAAAAGUGUAGAGGAUUCUGUCUUCAACGAUUCCUUCGAGAGAGAACCACUAAUCGAUGAAAGCCUAAUCAUUGAGAACCUGAAACAUUUAGCACAGGAUUAGACCAACAAAUGUUUGUCAUCAUCAUCCAAAACAUAAGGAAGGGAAAUGCCCUUUCAAUCUCUCCCUUUUUGGUGGAUGAUGACAACAACACGAUAUAAGAUAGAAGACUAUAGAAUCUAGACGGAGCUCCCCCUAGAUGUGAGCCCCAGGUCGAGACUCCCCCUAGAUUUUAUAGGCUAGUCACAAAAAGCAUAUAACAUGAAGGUAGCCAACACAAUGAAACAAGAGCAAUACUACCAAUAAAAACCAACAAGCAUAAAGAAGAGAUAGCAGGAGUGGCACAAAAUCCACACAAAUCAAACGAGAAUGACCAAAGUUCAACUGGAGACUAGAGACAAGUUCAACAUGAGACACACACUACGCAACCACCCAUGCAACUCCCGAGUCCUAUCACACUCUCUCCCCCUUUGGCAUCAGGACACCAAAAAGGAAGAGAGCGAAGCUAUCGCCCCAGGCUCAGUCGUCCUCGUCUGACUCCUCGGUAGCAUCUAGAUCUUCAUCAUUGUCAGAAUCUUCACCAUCAUCAGAAACUUCAUCAUCGUCCCGAUCUGAGUCCUCCAUGAUAUCAUCAGCAGCAGUAACGGUGGUGGAGGGCUGAGGAGGGGCUUCAUCAUCAGUCCAGGUGCUGUGGGAAGAUAUCCAACGCUCCUCCGGUGUGAUGCUCUUCUCAGAAUCACUCUGAACUGACAUGCUGAGGUGCCUCAUCAUAGCAAUUUGGCGACGCCGCGCAAGCUUCUCAUUGACAUGUGCCUCAUACAUCCUCUUCUGGAUGUCAGACUGAAGGCAGAAAGUCUUCUUCACCUUGGCAGCGAGCUUGUCCACCCACGAGGGCUUGGCCCCUGGUUCCAACUCAAAAUCCUCAUCAUCAGAAGUGGCAUAGACAUCCUCCGGAGCAUUAGCAGGGAAACGUGGCUCGACAUGCUUCUCCUUCUUAAGGAGCUUGACUUCAUGAUUGGUAAGAUUGUCAGGAGAGGUGAGGGGCUCUCCAGGAAGGCGAACACCCCACACGGAGUUCAGAAAGCACAUGACAAACGGAGCAUAAAUGGGGACCUUCCUGUAGAUGACCAUGUUGUACAUCUCGUGCCACAGCCAGUUGGACACAUCAAACGUCUCCCCAGAUCCAACCUUGGUCUUCAUAGCAACCAUCAAGUCAACAAGAUAGCCAUGGAUUUCAUCUUGAUUCCCCACUUUGGGCAGAAGCACAUUGCGAAAAACACGAUGCAUGAUGUCAUAGACCUUCACCAAAUCCUUAGAUUCACUAAUAAUACCACGGCCCCGAAUGUACAGAGGGGCAAGCUUCUCCUUAGGCAUGGGGUCAGGAUGAUCAUGGGGGCGAAUGCCACCCCUUCCUUCCAGACCGGUAUCAUCGUACCCAAUAGCAUUGCAGAAGGUCCUCGAGGGAACUUGAAAGAGCUCAUCACAACACAUGAAAGUGAGGGUGCGCGCGUCAUCUUCUCCAAAGUGAACGGUGGCAUAGAACAGAUGGAUGAGUUGAACAUCAAAGUCACAGUUGACGGACAUGAUCUUGACAAGAUCAAACUCCUCACAGAGAGCCAAAGCCUCACCAAAAUACUCCAGGUUGUUCCGCCAAUGAUCAAGAUCGAUGAUCCACUACUUGGCAUAUCUGUUCUUGUUGUCCUCAAAGAGUUCAUGAACAAUCACUACAAGAAACCUGUUAAUCCAUGACGGAUUUUUGAUGACAUUUUCAGAAUCUGUCAUGGAUGGGCUAAUACAACCCCGCAAGCCCGCCGAAGCCCGCUAAAGCCCGGUUAAUUGUUCCCCGUAUAAAAAAAACCUAACCCUAGCUCCCUUCACUUCGGCCCCUCCCUCCUCCGCAGUCCCCUCCCAUUCCCCAUCGUCUCCCGCACAUCGCCCCCACCUCGCCGCCUCCCUACUCCCACGGCUCGCCGCCGGCCCUCUCCUCCUCUCACCUCGCGGCUCCGGCGGCUGCUAGAUCCGCCACAAGCCCCACCCAUCCACCCCUCUCGCGACCCAUCUCUCUCUCUCUCUCUCUCUCUCCCUCUCCUACGAACCCUCGCGCCGCCAGCAAUGUCCGCCGAUUCCGGCGAUGUCCAGCACCGCGCAGCACGCUCACAAGCUCUUCUCCGACCCAUCCGGCCUCCAGUACGGCUGGAUCCGCCGUCCCCGGCCUCUGGCGCAUGUCCAUGACCCCUAGCCCAUGGCUAGGGUUUCUGUGGCGUCGCGUCCGUCGCCGGUGCGGCUCCAGCGGCUCCUCUCCAUCGUACAUCGCGCCCCCUCGCGCCCUCUCCUCCUCCUAGAUGGCGCUCCUUCGCUCGGUGUGCUUGCACGCGUUGGUCUGGACGGUGGCGACCCUGACCCCAUCUGCCGCGAGCGCCGAGGAAGGAGGAGGUCGUCACGAGGGAGUACACCAUCAACCUCCACAAGCGCCUCCAUGGCUGGUAUGCGACCUCCCAGCACUGUUACUUCUGCCCACUCUCUCGUUCCAGCUGCAAGAUCCGACUUGGUUCACCACGCCGUCCUACUGUAUUCUAUCCAGCGGCUCCUCUCUGUUGUUUAUUUAUUCUAUUAACUCAUGCUACAAUAUUUCUCAAUAUUAAUCUGUCCGGUAUAACAUUUAUAGUCUAGUAGCAAAUUAGUUUUAUAGUCAAUAAACUGUCUAAUGCUUUCUUGGUUUGAUUAAAAUUACAGUGACAAUCAGGUAGCCGUAGUUUUAGUUGACGGUAGUUGGUAUCGAUGAAUCUCAAGUGGCAAGUAUUCUGAGUUAUUUUUAAAACUUAUAACAUGAUCUUGGACCCAUAAUGGAUGAUCGAUGCAUAAUUCUUCUAUGCUGCAUGAUGUGUGUGUUUCUCUUUUCUUGUAUUAUUAACCGAUUCUCGUAAUCACUUCAUAUGUAUCUCCAUCUUUUAUGUUCAGCAAUAAUCUGUGCGAAAAGGUUGAUCUUCAAACUGGAAAAGUAUCAUACUUAUCUUAGCAUGUCUCAUGUUCGCAACAUCUAUGACCUCAGUUAUUCAUUCUGUACUGAAUUUCACGCCUUGUUGCUUAACACUGUCAUUUCUGUUGUUUUAGUUCUGCAGCUCAUGGACGGGAAAAUGUAUAGUGAAGGCCUAACACUUCUGGGUGGUAGAUUGCUAUAUUAACCUCAAAUUUGUUUUUGAAGUCUUUGCAUAACAAUUGCUAUGUUUAAUAUAAUAGACCUAUUUUCCUAUGUGUUUUGAUUCGACCAUCUCCUGGUGUUCAUGUGUCUUGAUUCAGCUUGUACCUUAAUAAGUAUUUUCCUAUGUGUUUUGAUUCAACCAUCUCCUGGUGUUCAUGUAUCUUGAUUCAGCUUGUACCUUAAUAACUAUUUUCCCAUUUGUUUUCAUUCGACCAUCUCCUGGUGUCAUGUGUAUUGACUUGGCUUGCACCUUAAUAACUAUUUAGCAAUCACAUAAGCCAUGCAAUAUAUUAAUUUGUAGUUUUCCGCAUCGUGUAUAUUGUUUGUUAUUGAUGCCAUUGUUUUUGGCGUAUAUACUUGUUAUUCUCGUUUGUACGUACCGUAAGAUUUCAGAACUUAGGACAAAAUCGUAUCUGCUAUUCUGUUGUGCAUUUUGUAUCUUUCCAGAACCAAAAGAGAAAAGUAGAAUUUACCCCUUCUUAAUGCCUAAUAAAACGGAAUGUUGAACUCGUUCCAUCACUUCCAGAAGGCUGUUUGAUAUAUCGGGAAAAGGGAGUUAUCAACUUUAUGUAUUACAGGAUGUCGCUUUAAGUUCUAGCAUUUUUGUCUUUCUGUAUUGUGGAAACAUAUUAACUUGUGUGGCAUAUUUCUCUAGUGAUGUGAAGUGUAUAUACUAAUGCAGUAUUAUUAGGUUUGUUCUGAUUUCUCUAACGGUGUCUCAAAGUUCUCGAUGUUUGCUAUUUAUAGUGCUCAUGCUGUAUUUGGGGAUUGUUUCCUAGCUCAGGUGUCCACUGAUCAGUGAGGAAGGUUGACGAUGACAACUUAACGACUGAAUCAUCCCCACUGGCAUAAUUAAAGAGAGCUGGAGACAAAUGAACUUGGUGUAUUAAUUCUUUAGGACCUUCAUCAACAGCAGCAGCCACUACUACAUGCUCACACCACAGUAUGUAUUCAGUCAUAACUACUAUAUAGAUACACUUGCCUGAACUGUUAUGCGAACCAUCGUUGGCUGCAUAGCUCUCAUGUUCAUCAUUACUUCUAGCCUCGAUGCAUAGCUCUUAUGCUCUUGCAUUACUGGUAGAGAUUAAAUUGUCAUAGUCCAUUAUAUAAGUUCUCUAGGUUUGAUUGAUUUGCUCUAUCCAAAUCAAAAUAUAAUAAUCAAAAAAAUUAACUGCAAUGUAACUUUGAAAAUGUCUUCACCUUGAACAUUUCUUUAAUUCUUGCUUUCUCUACCACUGAAUGCUAUUAUUUAUAAUCUGCUUCCUCAAUUCCAAAUUAAUUGAAUCUAACCAAAUCUAUAGGAAGCUAUAUCAACAUCUCCACCACAGAAUUAGUUUCAUUAGAUUCAUUGUAAAAUAUAUUUUUGUAAUAGAGUCCACUUGGUUGUUCUUGAUAAUAUAAUAUACCUAUUAGGUUUAUUCUCACAGGUAGAUAGGUGUCUAUAUUUACAUAAGAAAAAUGACACAUAAUUAGUUUGUAACCAUGGCAGUUUUCUUUCCAGUAAUUUGGUAAAGGUACAUGCGGCUGCAUAACAAGGUUAAGCCCUCAGCCUUCUGGCAUGGGUAAGCUCCUAUGCCCUCCAGAAUGAUUUGAAUUAUUUGGCAUUAUGUUGCUCGUGAUUAGCCAUUGAUGUUGUGUUGCUGCAACGAAACACUAUUGUUGAUUAUUGAAAGAAAAGCAUUCCUAGCAUAACUCUUAGGUAUAUAGGUUUACCUAUACCUCAUGAGUGACGUCCAAAUCAUGUGAUUUUUUUAUGUUUUAGAUCAUAAUAAAUACUAUUUCUGUUGUUGUAAUUAACUUGCCAUUUUGUAACAGAAGCAUUUUGUUGUACAGAUUUCCUUGGUGGUGAGAGCUGCAAAGGAAGUUUGAGCUGUAGAGGUGAAGCUGAUGAUAAAGUGUGUGUGUACAACUUGUAUAUUUGUUGAUGUAAUCUGGUUAUUGAGAGCAUUCGAACUAAUGUUGGAUGUGUUCUUUGGCACAUUUUAGAAGGCCUGUACUCAGUGAAGUAAUUGAAUAGAAAUUUAUGAAAUGGUCCAAAUUAUGGGUCUGUUCAAUGGAAGUCAUUUUGUGUUGUGAAUGUUUGAUCAAUUAUCUGUUAUUGGUCGUGAUGUGGCUGGUAGGAUGAAUGGGCCUUAUUAAAAUAAAUGCACUAAACCGCCACACUAAAAAAAUGGGCUAAUGGGCCUGGCAGUGUGCCAUGUCAGAUCCACACCGGCGCCACGUAGAUGCCAUACGAGGUCCAUAUAUUGGUACAGUCAUGUAAAUCCAUGAAGGACUAGUCUGUCAUGGAAUACCGGGCCUAUGGCGGGCCUGGGACUGAUCGGUGACGGCCGAGAACUGUCAUGGUAGUGCAGUUGCCAAAUUAUGACGCGAUAUACAUGACGGAUUCCAAGUCCGUCAUGGACCUCCCUCCUUGAUGGUUUUGCACUGUUCCAUGACAGACUGAAUCCGUCAUGGAUUAACAAGAUUCUUGUAGUGAAUUCGUACUUGCAUCUCAUUCUGAAACUGAACAGUGGUCCAACGAGGAGCUACGGGAACCACAUAAGGAUUCUUUGAGCAGAAGGAUUCCCAAUCCUUGGCUUUCCAAUGGUGGAGUGGCAUUAUCACACAUUGCUUGACAGCGGAAGACUUUUCACGGCGAGUGGGCUUGGUGGGGAUCACAACUUCCUCUUCAGAGUCAGCCGGGCACGGAGCCCGUCGAACCCUCUUCUUGGUCUUGCGAGGAGAAGAGCGAGAACUGGAGCCACCUGAACACAAACACGAAGGGGACACACGAAACCAACAGGAAUGAGAGGAAAGCAUACGGAAAAUGCAACACCAUAGAAACCAGAACAGUGCUAUGUGGUUCAUAUAUUCCGGUUGAACCGGAUCCCCCACCGGUAGAACCGCCCCACCGGUUGUACCGCCCGUCUGGGCGGUAGAACCGCUGACAGUGGCACUACCAGGGUAGUUAGAUCUGUUCAAGACGUGCAAAUCACUCAAGCAAUAUUCGGAGUUCUAUGUACUGCAUAGACACAAGAAAAACAACGAUCUCUCCCAACCAAAGAACAAACACAAAUCUAGGAGGAUAAAGUAAUGCCCUAAAACAAGAAGAAAACCUAGAACAAAGAACGAAGAACAAGGGCAUUACCACCAUCCAUGGGAGAAGACCGGAAGGCUUCCACGGAGAGAAUCCACGGAGAACCCUCGGGUCCGAAGCGCGGGGCGCACUCCGGGGCGAGGCAGAGGUGACCGGCAGCUAGGGCAAGGAGGAGGCGAACAGGGACGAAGGGAGAAAAGAAAAACUCUUUGCCCCGUCGGAUAUAAAUAGGCCCAUAGCCGCGCGGCGGUAGAACCGCUCCUAGGACCGGUUGUAUGGCAAGUCCGGUGCUGACAGAUUGUAGUGGGCGGUGCUUCCGUUUCCUGAAGGGCACCGGAAGUACCGCCCGGAGACAACCGGUAGAACCGGACGGAGAAGCCCCAGUGAAAAUGGGCGGUAUAACUGCCCACGCACCGAAAGCAACCCAACUGGGGCAGCACAACCAGGUAUCAGCGGUAGAACCGCCCGUGACACCGGUUGUACCGCCCGACCACCAAAGCCCAGACCGAAAAGAAGAGAACAAGACAAACGGGACAACAAAAAGUGAAACCAAACACUAAGAGCAGGGAAAAGAUCGAAAGGAAAACAAAAGCAACCGCACACAAGCAGAGCGAGCUCAGUCCUCUCUCUUAAGAGAGGGCGGUGGCCGAAGCCACCUAUGUUUGAGUCUAAUGGUAUGGCACCGCGAAGAAUUAUCCUUGGGUCCAUAACCAAAACUCGUAUUUGAAACACAAGUACCAUCAAAAAUGGCUAAUGCGACAGAGUUGAUCAAUUUAUGCAUAAUGGGGGGAGGGAGAGUUCAUUGAGAGAACAACACUCCCCCUAUCUCCAUGCCUACCCCUAAACUAGACAACAAGUUGAGUGUGGUGAGGGGUGCACGGGUUCAAGUCACAUUGCUCGAAUCAAUGAUAUUUAGCGCAUGCCUUAACUCGCGAAAUCUUGCUUCAUCCAAGGGCUUCGUGAAAAUAUUUGCAAGGUUAUCAUGAGUGUUGACAUACUUGAGCUCGAUCUCCCCUCGCCUAAUGUGAUCCCGGAUGAAAUGAUACCUAAUCUCAAUAUGCUUCGUCUUGAAGUGUUGCACCGGGUUGAGAGAAAUCUUGAUGGCACUUUCGUUGUCACACCAAAGAGGCACUUUGUCACAAGUGACACCGUAUUCCUUUAAAGUUUGCCUCGUCCAUAGGAGUUGUGCACAACAACUAUCGGCCGCCACAUACUCCGCUUCGGUGGACGAGAGAGACACACAACUUUGCUUUUUGGAAGACCAACUUACCAAAGAGCAACCAAGAAAUUGGCACCCUCUGGAAGUGGACUUCCUAUCCACUUUGUCUCCCGCCCAAUCGGAAUCCGUAAACCAUUCAAGCUUGAAGUUUGCCCCCCUUGGGUACCAUAAGCCAAAGUUUGGGGUAUGAGCCAAAUAUCGAAAGAUUCGCUUGACCGCCACAUAGUGACUUUCCUUCGGUGCAGCUUGAAACCGUGCACACAUCCCCACACUCAACAUGAUAUCCGGUCUAGAUGCACAAAGGUAAAGCAAGGAGCCAAUCAUGGAGCGAUAUACCUUUUGAUCCACCGCUUUACCAUUGGGAUCAAUGUCAAGUUGGCACUUGGUGGGCAUUGGAGUAGAGGCCGGCUUGACAUCACUUAACUUGAAUCUCUUGAGCAUAUCUUGAGUGUAUUUGGUUUGGUUGAUGAAGGUACCUUCUCUUCUUUGUUUGAUAUCAAAACCAAGGCAGAACUUCAACUCUCCCAUCGAAGACAUCUUGAACUUAGAGGUCAUGAGAGCAUCAAAUUCUUCAUUGAAGGCUUUGUUAGGGGAACCAAAGAUAAUGUCAUCAACAUAUAGUUGGCAUACAAAAAACUCCCCUUUGACCUUCUUAGUAAAAAGAGUGGGAUCGAUUAGCCCCACUUCAAAUCCACGAUCUUGUAACAACUCGGUAAGGUGGUCAUACCACGCACGUGGGGCUUGUUUAAGGCCAUAGAGCGCCUUAUCGAGUUGAUACACAUGAUCCGGGAAGAAGGGAUCCUCGAACCCGGGGGUUUGCUUGACAUAGACCAACUCAUUAAUAGGACCAUUAAGAAAAGCACUUUUAACAUCCAUUUGUUGCAACUUAAAGUUGUGAUGGGAAGCAUAAGCAAUCAACAAACAAAUGGAUUCAAGGCGAGCAACGGGAGCAAAGGUUUCACCGUAGUCGAUACCCUCGACUUGGGAGUAGCCUUGUGCUACCAAUCUUGCCUUGUUGCGAAUGAUGUUCCCAUGAGCAUCUUGCUUGUUCUUGAAGAUCCACUUGGUUCCAAUGAUGUUAUGGUUCCCGGAAGGCCUUGGCACCAAUCUCCACACCUUGUUGUACUCGAAGUUGUUGAGUUCUUCAUGCAUGGCAUUAAGCCAAUCCGAGUCUUCGAGCGCCUCAUAGACCUUAUGGGGUUCAACACAAGAGACAAACGCGUGAUGUUCACAAUAGUUUGCUAAUUGUCUACGAGUGCUUACCCCCUUUCUUAGGCUUCCAACCACAUUCUCCAUGAGAUGACCUUUGGUGGUGAGUUUGGAAGCAAUCUUCGCGGCACGACGCUCCAAUUCCUCCUCGGAUGUCGAAGGAGGAGGGUUCACUUGAUCAUCUUGAGCGUCGUCAUGAGCUUGUUCUUGAUCUUGAACUUGCUCGAGGGGAAGAACUUGACCUUGGGAAUCAUGUAGAGGUUCACCACCAUCUUGUGGUUGAUCUUGCCCUUGGUCUAGUUCAUGAGGGUGAGGGCCUUCACUUUGUUCUUCGGUAGCGUGUGGGUCUUGGGGAGGUGAUGGAUCCACUUGAGUGGAGCAUUGUCCUUCUCCUUCGGCCACAAGGGGUUCCUCAAUGGGUAGGAUAUGACCAAUACCCAUUCUUCUUAUGUCUUGGGGAGGAAUUCCAUCACCUACAUCACAAGUACCACUUUGCUCCACUUGGGAGCCGUUAUUUUCGUCAAACUCUACGUUACACGUCUCCUCAAUGAGUCUGUUGGACUUGUUGAGAACACGGUAAGCAUGAGAGUUUGUAGCAUAACCAACAAAUAUGCCCUCAUGAGCUCUAGCCUCGAAUUUAGACAAGCGAACACCUUUCUUGAGAAUGAAACACUUACACCCAAACACUCGAAAGUACUUGAGAUUGGGCUUGUUCCCGGUGAGUAUCUCAUACGGAGUCUUGUUCAAGCCUUUGCGGAGAUAGAGCCGAUUGGAUGCAUGACAUGCUGUGUUGAUGGCUUCGGCCUAAAAGUUGUAUGGAGACUUGAACUCCACCAUCAUGGUUCUUGCCGCAUCCAUCAACGUCCGGUUCUUCCUCUCCGCAACACCAUUUUGUUGAGGGGUAUAUGGUGCAGAAUAUUGAUGCUUGAUCCCUUCAUCACUCAGAAACUCAUCCAGGGUGUAGUUCUUGAACUCGGUGCCGUUGUCACUUCUUAUUGUCAGGAUCUUUGCAUUAUGUUGACGUUGAGCUUCAUUUGCAAAGUCGAUGACGGUUUGUUGAGUCUCACUCUUCCUCUUGAAGAAGUAUACCCAAGUGUAUCUUGAAUAAUCAUCCACAAUCACCAAGCAAUACUUUCUACCCCCAAGACUAUCAAAAGAUGGAGGGCCGAAGAGGUCCAUGUGUAGGAGCUCCAAGGGUCUCUUCGAGUAGAUGAUAGUCGUGGGAGGGUGAGCCUUCUCAUGAAGCUUUCCUUCGAUACAAGCACUGCAAACACGAUCUUUGGCAAAAAUAACAUUCGUUAGUCCAUGAACAUGGUCCCCCUUGAGAAGACUUUGCAAAGACCUCAUAUUGACGUGGGCUAAACGGAGAUGCCAAAGCCAUCCCACAUCAACUUUAGCCAUUAGGCAUGUCGCGGUCUUAGUGGGUUGCUCCGAAAAGUUAAUCACAUAGAGACCGUUCUCGACAUGCCCAACAAAGGCUACUUUAAGAGUCUUGCUCCACAAGAGGGCCAUGGUAUCAAUAUCAAAGAAGGUGGCAAAGCCCAUGAGUGCGAGUUGACAAACGGAAAGUAAAUUGAACGCAAGGGACUCAACAAGCAUGACUUUCUCGAUCGUUAGAUCAUGAGAAAUGACAACCUUGCCAAGACCCAAUACCUUAGAAUGUGAGGCAUCACCCCAUUCUACAUUGGUGGGCAUAGAUGGGAUCUUGUGCACGUCCACCACCAAGUCCUUGCUCCCGGUCAUAUGAUUUGUUGCUCCACUAUCGAGCAACCAUGAUCCCCCACCGGAAGCAAACACCUACAAGAGAUCAAUGCUUGGUUUUAGGUACCCAUUGAGUAAUGGGUCUUUUGAUGUUAGUAACAAGGGUCUUAGGAACCCAAAUAGACCAUUCAAUGUACUCAUAAGGAGAACCAACAAAUUUAGCAUAAACAUGCCCAUCACUAGCACGGCACAACACAUAAGAUGGUUUAAAGUCGCCGGCUUUGUUGGGAGAGAUGGCUUUGCACUCUUUGGCAUCACCACUCUUCCCAUUGUUCUUCUUCUCCUUAGGAGCACCUUCUCCCUCCUUCACAAAGGUUUGCGUGAGCGGAGGAGGUCGAUCGGUCUUGCUCUUCUUCUCCUUGUUCUUCUUCUUCUUCUUGGACUUGGGUGAGAACCCAACUCCCUCCUUGCCCACAACUUCCUUUUGAUUGCUCAAAAGGUCAUUUAGGUUCUUCUCGCCUUGUAUGCAUGACACAAGACCUUUCUCGAGUUGUUCCUUCAACUUGGCAUUCUCCUCCACAAGAUGCACAUGCUCACAACAAGGGUUAGUAGCAUUUGCAUUAUCAAUUAAGACCAUGUGAGGAAAUGUGGCCUUUUCCUUGGUUAGCUUAACUUGGAGUUGAGCAUGAGACUCCUUGAGGGUAGCAUGAGCACCUUUCAAGACCUUGUGGGCCUUGUCAAGUACAUCAAACUCCUCCGUGAGUCUAACAUGAUCAACCCCAAGUUUAGCCUUCUCGGAAGCUAGAACACGAGACACAACAAGAGCAUGAUCAAGAUCUUUUUUUAGUUUAGCAUGACCAUCGUUGUGUGACUCCUCAAGAGCCAAACGAUGCUCACACUCUUCCUCAAGAGCAUUAGAGAGAUCCGAUAUCUCAUCGGCAUAGUCACGACUAUGACUUUCCAUCUUAGAGAUGGUUUCUUCGUGAGCCUCGAUCAUGUCAUUGGCUUCACCAAGUUGUUCCAAGAGAGCAACAAAGUGCUUCUUGGAUUUGCCCUUGAGCUUACUCAUGAAGGACUCAAAUUCAUUGAUCUCCUCAUUAGACCCCUUACCAUUAUCAAAGUCAUCCGUUGAAGGAGGGUUAGGAAUAAUGGUGGUUUUGAUGUUGGAGGUUACCUUGUUGGUGGCCUUAGCCAUGAGGCACUUGGCGGUGAUGUUCUCGUUAGGUGCAUCGAAGAGAGACACUCGGGGAGUUGUGACAAUGGCAACGGAUGCCAUGGCCAUUGUUUCAUCACCUUCAUCAUCAUCGUCAUCCUCACAGUAUUCUUCUUGAACCACCAACCCGCGAGACGGAGUCUUCUUGGUGAAGUUGUUCUUGUUUGGGAAGGACUUGGCUUUGUCUUUUCGGAUGAACUUGCCACCAUUGUCUUCCCGCUUCUCGUAGGGACAAUCCGCAACGAAAUGGCUAACAUUGCCACAGUUGAAACAGGUUCUAACUCGUUGCUUCCCCUUGAGGCCACUUGAGUUGUUCUUUUUGAAGUUGGGUCUUGUAUUCUUCUUACUCCAAAACUGUCUUGAGGCAAGAGCCAUGUGCUCAUGAUAAUCAUACUUCGUGUCCUCGGGGUUGCUCUCCUCAUCUUCCUCAUCUGCUUCUUCUUCCACACUAACCUUGGCCUUCAAGGCAAGAUUGGGCUUCUUUGCCCUUUGGGAACGGAGCACCGCAUUGUCGGCGGUCUUGUCCAAGAUGCUCAUUGCAACAAACUCAUCCAACACUUCACCAGAGGUCAUGGAGUGGAAGUCCGGUCUUUGGUGAAUGAUGGAGGACAUGGCCUUGUUGUAGGGCAUCAUGGCCUUGAGGAACUUGCGCUUGAUCCAAUUGUCAUCCGUGUCCUUGCUCCCAUGAUCUCUGAGUGCGACCGCGAGUUUGGUCACUCUUCGAAAGAGCUCACGAGGUUCUUCAUCCUCUUUCAUUGCAAACUCAUCGGCUUCAUCUUGCACCACUUCAUAGUUGGAGCGUUGAAUGCUAGAACUUCCUUGAUAGAGACGCUUGACACAUUUCCAUGCUUCUUUAGCCAUGGCAUGAGGUCGAAGAUGAGGGAGAUCUUCGGGAAGGAUUGCAUCUUGGAUGAUGAAGAGAGCACUCUCAUUGAAUUGAUUGUCCACUUCUUCUCGAGGGGUGAAGUUGCUUGGGUCAUGACGAUAGAAACCUUCUUCAAUGAUUCUCCAAAGGUUAGUAUUCACAUGUUUUAAAUGACGCUUGAAGCGAUAAACCCAAGAAUCAAAAUCUUCAUUUUUCACAUAUUUAGGAGGAGGACCGGCAUGAUUCAAAUGAGUAGAGGGGAUCGGUCCUCUAUACACUGGGGGUUCCACAUUGGCAAAGAUGCCGGUGCCAUUUCUACCACUAGUAGAAGGACUCUUUUCAUUAUUAGCUUCCCCCUUGUCGGAGGUAGCAUCCGUCACCUUGUUAGUGGGAUCACCCACUUUCAACGGCGAGGUAGAUAGUUUAAGUCCUUCUAGAAAUUCAGUAAACAUGCUUUUAACCUCGACCAUCAUGGAGGUUUUCAAUGUGUCUAAAGCCACAUUGAAUUCCUCACGUGAGACCGAGGUUCCCCCUUCAGCCGAAGACGAGAUGGGAUUCACACCGGAGUGUUCCUCCGCACUGUCGUUGGUGUCAACCAUACUCUUCGAACGGCAAAGUCCUUAAUAAAGAGACGAGGCUCUGAUACCAAUUGAAAGGAUCGAUAUGGUUGACUAGAGGGGGGGGUGAAUAGGCAACUAACAAUUUUUAAGCUUUUCUUUACCAAAUUAAACUUUGGAACAAAAUAGGUUGUCUAGAUAUGCAACUAUGUGAGCAACCUAUAUGAUGCAAUAACAACUAACACAAGAGCAAGCAAGGGAUACAACACAAGUAGGCUUGCAAGAGUAAAGGCACGAAAUAACCAAGAGUGGAGCCGUUGGAGACGAGGAUGUGUUACCGGAGUUCCUUCCUUUUAAGGGGAAGUACAUCUCCGUUAGAGCGGUGUGGAGGCACAAUGCUCCCCAAGAAGCCACUAGGGCCACCGUAUUCUCCUCACGCCCUUACACAAUGCAAGAUGCCGUGAUUCCACUAUUGGUGCCCUUGAAGGCGGCAACCGGACCUUUACAAACAAGGUUGGGGCAAUCUCCACAACAAUUGGAGGCUCCCAACGAAACCACGAAGCUUCACCACAAUGGAAUAUGGCCUCGAGGUGACCUCAACCAUGUAGGGUGCUCAAACACCAAAGAGUAACAAAAUCCACUCUAGAAAGUAUGGGGGAAGUAAAUAUCCUUUGGUGGAACUGUAGAUAUAGGUCUCCUCCUUCAAACCCUAGCAAAUCAACAAGUUUGAGUGGCUACAGAGAGAGAUCGGGCAAGAGAGCUUGAGAGCAUCAAUGGUGGAGUGAGAGAGGUAAGAGGUGGGCGUGGUAGGUGGAGGAACCACCUUAUAUAGCAGCCCACUAAAAUCCAACUGUUACCGCGUUUUCAGUACUGCAGCGGUACAACCGCUCCUUGUCCUGGUACAACCGGGACUCACGAUGUAGCUGCAGAACCCUACCAGGCGGUACAACCGGGCCAUCGGGCGGUAGUACCGGUCAUUAGCAAAUAACCGGACCAACCGCCCAGCCACCGCACAACUACCGCACCGAAACAGAACGGAGUCACCCUUGAGGACGGUAGUUGGGCGGUGCAGGGCCGGUGCAACCGCCUGGCCUUGAUCGCUUGAGCGGCUAAGGAAUGAGCGGAAGAACCGCUCGAACCUCCGGUUGUACUGGUUGAAAAGGAACAACCGGACCAACCGGGCCACCACCGCCCAGCCAUCGCAUCAGAACAAAAGCCUGACCGGUACAUGGGCGGUGCAUGGCCGGAACAACCGGUGCUGGUCAUUGCAGAGACAGGUGGCGGUACCACCGCUCGACAAUGGCAGAGAAGCGUCAGGAGCCAGCGGUACUACCGCUCGGACGAGCGGUACAACCGCUGGGAAUACACAGCAAAGAUUAGAUUAAAAUGGAGGCACUCUCUCGACAAGAAGAGGGGUGAUGGAGGUGUACGAGAAUGGAAUCCCCUAUUCUUUCCAAAGUGGAUUCCCUCUUGAUAGUACGGGAUCCCUACGACCAAAGAGAUAAAAGCGUAGAGGAUUCUGUCUUCAACGAUUCCUUCGAGAGAGAACCACUAAUCGAUGAAAGUCUAAUCAUUGAGAACUUGAAACAUUUAGCACAGGAUUAGACCAACAAAGGGUUGUCAUGAUCAUCCAAAACAUAAGGAAGGGAAUUGCCCUUUCAUAUGUAACUAUUUAUAUUCUAAACGUAAUUUAUUUAGAAAGCGGUCGUAAGAUUACCUCAGGUGAAGAAUAACUUAUUCUGCACCUGGAUGACAAAUAGUAACAUGUUAAAAUAUUCAAAAUGUCUUAUAACUCAGAACAGAGGUGAUACUCCCCAAAAGAAGUGGUCUAGUUUAAGAAUGCUACUUGUUGGCUACUACCUCCGUCCUGAUUUAUUAGUCCCCUUUCGUAAUCUAUGCCACAUUUUGAUCUUAAAUUUAACUAACAAAAUGUUAAUGCAUGUCAUAAAAGAUAAUAUAAUUGAAAACUAUGUUCAAAUAUUUUGUUAGUUAAAUCUCUAGUCAAAAUUUGGCCUAAAAUACAAAGGGAACUUAUAAACCACGACGGAGCUAGUACAUGCUAAAACAGAAAAAACUACUCCCUCCAUUCCAUAAUGUAAGACGUUUUUUGGCACUACACUAGUGUUAAAAAACGUCUUAUAUUAUGGGACGGAGAGAGCAUAUUUUUGUGUUUUUAUACCAAAUUUUACAUAUUGAAUCAAUAUGUAUGUAACUAUUCAUAUUCUAAACGUAAUUUUUUUAGAAAGCGGUCGUAAGAUUACCUCGGGUGAAGAAUAACUUAUUCUGCACCUGGAUGACGAAUAGUAACAUGUUAAAAUAUUCAAAAUGUCUUAUAACUCGGAACAGAGGUGAUACUCCCCAAAAGAAGUGGUCUAGUUUAAGAAUGCUACUUGUUGGCUACUACCUACGUCCUGAUUUAUUAGUCCCCUUUCGUAAUCUAUGCCACAUUUUGAUCUUAAAUUUAACUAACAAAAUGCUAAUGCAUGUCAUAAAAGAUAAUAUAAUUGAAAACUAUGUUCAAAUAUUUUGUUAGUUAAAUCUCUAGUCAAAAUUUGGCCUAAAAUAGAAAGGGAACUUAUAAACUAGGACGGAGGUAGUACAUGCUAAAACAGAAAAAACUACUCCCUCCGUUCCACAAUGUAAGACGUUUUUUGGCACUACACUACUAUUAAAAAACGUCUUAUAUUAUGGGACGGAGAGAGUAUAUUUUUGUGUUUUUAUACCAAAUUUUACAUAUUGAUCAAUAUGUAUGUAACUAUUUAUAUUCUAAACGUAAUUUAUUUAGAAAGCGGUCAUAAGAUUACCUCGGGUGAAGAAUAACUUAUUAUGCACCUGGAUGACGAAUAGUAACAUGUUAAAAUAUUCAAAAUGUCUUAUAACUCAGAACAGAGGUGAUACUCCCCAAAAGAACUGGUCUAGUUUAAGAAUGCUACUUGUUGGCUACUACCUUUGUCCUGAUUUAUUAGUCCCCUUUCGUAAUCUAUGCCACAUUUUGAUCUAAAAUUUAACUAAUAAAAUGUUAAUGCAUGUCAUAAAAGAUAAUAUAAUUGAAAACUAUGUUCAAAUAUUUUGUUAGUUAAAUCUCUAGUCAAAAAUUUGGCCUAAAAUACAAAGGGAACUUAUAAACCAGGACGGGGGUAGUACAUGCUAAAACAGAAAAAACUACUCCCUCCGUUCCAUAAUAUAAGACGUUUUUUGGCACUACACUAGUGUUAAAAAACGUCUUAUAUUAUGGAACGGAGAGAGUAUAUUUUUGUGUUUUUAUACCAAAUUUUACAUAUUGAAUCAAUAUGUAUGUAACUAUUUAUAUUCUAAACGUAAUUUAUUUAGAAAGCGGUCGUAAGAUUACCUCGGGUGAAGAAUAACUUAUUCUGCACCUGGAUGACGAAUAGUAACAUGUUAAAAUAUUCAAAAUGUCUUAUAACUCAGAACAGAGGUGAUACUCCCCAAAAGAAGUGGUCUAGUUUAAGAAUGCUACUUGUUGCCUACUACCUCCGUCCUGAUUUAUUAGUCCCCUUUCGUAAUCUAUGCUACAUUUUGAUCUUAAAUUUAACUAACAAAAUGUUAAUGCAUGUCAUAAAAGAUAAUAUAAUUGAAAACUAUGUUCAAAUAUUUUGUUAGUUAAACCUCUAGUCAAAAUUGGCCUAAAAUACAAAGGGAACUUAUAAACCAGGACGGAGGUAGUACAUGCUAAAACAGAAAAAACCACUCCUUCCGUUCCAUAAUGUAAGACGUUUUUUGGCACUACACUAGUGUUAAAAAUGUCUUAUAUUAUGGGACGGAGAGAGUAUAUUUUUGUGUUUUUAUUCCAAAUUUUACAUAUUGAAUCAAUAUGUAUGUAACUAUUUAUAUUCUAAACGUAAUUUACUUACAAAGCGGUCGUAAGAUUACCUCGGGUGAAGAAUAAUUUAUUAUGCACCUGUAUGACGAAUAGUAACAUGUUAAAAUAUUCAAAAUGUCUUAUAACUCAGAACAGAGGUGAUACUCCCCAAAAUAAGUGGUCUAGUUUAAGAAUGCUACUUGUUGGCUACUACCUCCGUCCUGAUUUAUUAGUCCCGUUUCGUAAUCUAUGCCACAUUUUGAUCUUAAAUUUAACUAACAAAAUGUUAAUGCAUGUCAUAAAACAUAAUAUAAUUGAAAACUAUGUUCAAAUAUUUUGUUAGUUAAAUCUCUAGUCAAAAUUUGGCGUAAAAUACAAAGGGAACUUACAAACCAGGACGGAGGUAGUACAUGCUAAAACAAAAAAAACUACUCCCUCCGUUCCAUAAUUUAAGACGUUUUUUGGCACUACACUAGUGUUAAAAAACGUCUUAUAUUAUGGGACGGAGAGAGAGUAUAUUUUUGUGUUUUUAUACCAAAUUUCACAUAUUGAAUCAAUAUGUAUGUAACUAUUUAUAUUCUAAACGUAAUUUAUUUAGAAAGCAGUCGUAAGAUUACCUCGGGUGAAGAAUAACUUAUUUUGCACCUGGAUGACGAAUAGUAACAUGUUAAAAUAUUCAAAAUGUCUUAUAACUAAGAACAGAGGUGAUACUCCUCAAAAGAAGUGGUCUAGUUUAAGAAUGCUACUUGUUGGCUACUACCUCCGUCCUGAUUUAUUAGUCCCGUUUCGUAAUCUAUGCCACAUUUUGAUCUUAAAUUUAACUAACAAAAUGUUAAUGCAUGUCAUAAAAGACAAUAUAAUUGAAAACUAUGUUCAAAUAUUUUGUUAGUUAAAUCUCUAGUCAAAAUUUGGCCUAAAAUACAAAGGGAACUUACAAACCAGGACGGAGGUAGUACAUGCUAAAACAGAAAAACCACUCCCUCCGUUCCAUAAUGUAAGACGUUUUUUGGCACUACACUAGUGUUAAAAAACGUCUUACAUUAUGGGACGGAGAGAGUAUAUUUUUGUGUUUUUAUACCAAAUUUUACAUAUUGAAUCAAUAUGUAUGUAACUAUUUAUAUUCUAAACGUAAUUUAUUUAAAUAGCGGUCGUAAGAUUACCUCGGGUGAAGAAUAACUUAUUAUGCACCUGGAUUACGAAUAGUAACAUGUUAAAAUAUUCAAAAUGUCUUAUAACUAAGAACAGAGGUGAUACUCCCCAAAAUAAAGUCGUCUAGUUUAAGAAUGUUACUUGUUGGCUACUACCUCCAUCCUGAUUUAUUAGUCCCCUUUCGUAAUCUAUGUCAAAUUUUGAUCUUAAAUUUAUCAAGCAAAAUGUUAAUGCAUGUCAUAAAAGAUAAUAUAAUUGGAAACUAUGUUCAAAUAUUUUGUUAGUUAAAUCUCUAGUCAAAAUUUGGCAUAAAAUACGAAGGGAACUUACAAACCAGGACGGAGGUAGUACAUGCUAAAACAGAAAAAACUACUCCCUUCGUUCCAUAAUGUAAGACGUUUUUUGGCACUACACUAGUGUUAAAUAACGUCUUAUAUUAUGGGAUGGAAGAGUAUAUUUUUGUGUUUUCAUACCAAAUUUUACAUAUUGAAUCAAUAUGUAUGUAACUAUUUAUAUUCUAAACAUAAUUUAUUUAGAAAGCGGUCGUAAGAUUACCUCGGGUGAAGAAUACCUUAUUAUGCACCUGGAUGACGAAUAGUAACAUGUUAAAAUAUUCAAAAUGUCUUAUAACUCAGAACAGAGGUGAUACUCCCCAAAAGAACUGGUCUAGUUUAAGAAUGCUACUUGUUGGCUACUACCUCCGUCCUGUUUUAUUAGUCCCCUUUCGUAAUCUAUGCCACAUUUUGAUCUUAAGUUUAACUAACAAAAUGUUAAUGCAUGUCAUAAAAGAUAUUAUAAUUGAAAACUAUGUUCAAAUAUUUUGUCAGUUAAAUCUUUAGUCAAAAUUUGGCCUAAAAUACAAAGGGAACUUAUAAAUCAGGACGGAGGUAGUACAUGCUAAAACAGAAAAAACUACUCCCUCCGUUCCAUAGUGUAAGACGUGUUUUGGCACUACACUAGUGUUAAAAAACGUCUUAUAUUAUGGGACGGAGAGAGUAUAUUUUUGUGUUUUUAUACCAAAUUUUACAUAUUGAAUCAAUAUGUGUGUGACUAUUUAUAUUCUAAAUGUAAUUUAUUUAAAAAGCGGUCGUAAGAUUACCUAGGGUGAAGAAUAACUUAUUAUGCACCUGGAUGACGAAUAGUAAAAUGUUAAAAUAUUCAAAAUGUCUUAUAACUCAGAACAGAGGUGAUACUCCCCAAAAAAAGUGGUCUAGUUUAAGAAUGCUACUUGUUGGCUACUACCUCCGUCCUGAUUUAUUAGUCCCCUUUCGUAAUCUAUGCCACAUUUUGAUCUUAAAUUUAACUAAUAAAAUGUUAAUGCAUGUCAUAAAAGAUAAUAUAAUUGAAAACUAUGUUCAAAUAUUUUGUUAGUUAAAUCUCUAGUCAAAAUUUGGCCUAAAAUACAAAGGGAACUUAUAAACCAGGACGGGGUAGUACAUGUUAAAACAGAAAAAACUACUCCCUCCGUUCCAUAAUAUAAGACGUUUUUUGGCACUACACUAGUGUUAAAAAACGUCUUAUAUUAUGGAACGGAGAGAGUAUAUUUUUGUGUUUUUAUACCAAAUUUUACAUAUUGAAUCAAUACGUAUGUAAUUAUUUAUAUUCUAAACGUAAUUUAUUUAGAAAGCGGUCGUAAGAUUACCUCGGGUGAAGAAUAACUUAUUCUGCACCUGGAUAACGAAUAGUAACAUGUUAAGAUAUUCAAAAUGUCUUCUAACUCAGAACAGAGGUGAUACUCCCCAAAACAAGUGGUCUAGUUUAAGAAUGCUACUUGUUGGCUACUACCUCCGUCCUGAUUUAUUAGUCCCCUUUCGUAAUCUAUGCUACAUUUUGAUCUUAAAUUUUAACUAACAAAAUGUUAAUGCAUGUCAUAAAAGAUAAUAUAAUUGAAAACUAUGUUCAAAUAUUUUGUUCGUUAAAUCUCUAGUCAAAAUUGGCCUAAAAUACAAAGGGAACUUAUAAACCAGGACGGAGGUAGUACAUGCUAAAACAGAAAAAACCACUCCAUCCGUUCCAUAAUGUAAGCCGUUUUUUGGCACUACACUAGUGUUAAAAAAUGUCUUAUAUUAUGGGACGGAGAGAGUAUAUUUUUGUGUUUUUAUACCAAAUUUUACAUAUUGAAUAAAUAUGUAUGUAACUAUUUAUAUUGUAAACGUAAUUUACUUAGAAAGCGGUCGUAAGAUUACGUCGGGUGAAGAAUAAUUUAUUAUGCACCUGGAUGACGAAUAGUAACAUGUUAAAAUAUUCAAAAUGUCUUAUAACUCAGAACAGAGGUGAUACUCCCCAAAAGAAGUGGUCUAGUUUAAGAAUGCUACUUGUUGGCUACUACCUCCGUCCUGAUUUAUUAGUCCCGUUUCGUAAUCUAUGCCACAUUUUGAUCUUAAAUUUAACUAACAAAAUGUUAAUGCAUGUCAUAAAAGAUAAUAUAAUUGAAAACUAUGUUCAAAUAUUUUGUUAGUUAAAUCUCUAGUCAAAAUUUGGCCUAAAAUACAAAGGGAACUUACAAACCAAGACGGAGGUAGUACAUGCUAAAACAAAAGGAACUACUCCCUCCGUUCCAUAAUGUAAGACGUUUUUUGGCACUACACUAGUGUUAAAAAACGUCUUAUAUUAUGGGACGGAGAGAGUAUAUUUUUGUGUUUUUAUACCAAAUUUCACAUAUUGAAUCAAUAUGUAUGUAACUAUUUAUAUUCUAAAUGUAAUUUAUUUAGAAAGCGGUCGUAAGAUUACCUCGGGUGAAGAAUAACUUAUUCUGAACCUGGAUGACGAAUAAUAACAUGUUAAAAUAUUCAAAAUGUCUUAUAACUCAGAACAGAGGUGAUACUCCCCAAAAGAAGUGGUCUAGUUUAAGAAUGCUACUUGUUGGCUACUACCUCCGUCCUGAUUUAUUAGUCCCGUUUCGUAAUCUAUGCCACAUUUUGAUCUUAAAUUUAACUAACAAAAUGUUAAUGCAUGUCACAAAAGAUAAUAUAAUUGAAAACUAUGUUCAAAUAUUUUGUUAGUUAAAUCUCUAGUCAAAAUUUGGCCUAAAAUACAAAGGGAACUUACAAACCAGGACGGAGGUAGUACAUGCUAAAACAGAAAAAACUACUCCCUCCGUUCCAUAAUGUAAGACGUUUUUUGGCACUACACUAGUGUUAAAAAACGUCUUAUAUUAUGGGACGGAGAGAGUAUAUUUUUGUGUUUUUAUACCAAAUUUUACAUAUUGAAUCAAUAUGUAUGUAACUAUUUAUAUUCUAAACGUAAUUUAUUUAAAAAGCGGUCGUAAGAUUACCUCGGGUGAAGAAUAACUUAUUCUGCACCUGGAUGACGAAUAGUAACAUGUUAAAAUAUUCAAAAUGUCUUAUAACUCAGAACAGAGGUGAUACUCCCCAAAAGAAGUGGUCUAGUUUAAGAAUGUUACUUGUUGGCUACUACCUCCAUCCUGAUUUAUUAGUCCCCUUUCGUAAUCUAUGUCAAAUUUUGAUCUCAAAUUUAUCUAGCAAAAUGUUAAUGCAUGUCAUAAAAGAUAAUAUAAUUGGAAACUAUGUUCAAAUAUUUUGUUAGUUAAAUCUCUAGUCGAAAUUUCGCCUAAAAUACAAAGGGAACUUAUAAACCAGGACGGAGGUAGUACAUGCUAAAACAAAAGAAACUACUCCCUCCGUUCCAUAAUCUAAGACGUUUUUUGGCACUACACUAGUGUUAAAAACGUCUUAUAUUAUGGGACGGAGAGAGUAUUUUUUUGUGUUUUUAUACCAAAUUUACAUAUUGAAUCAAUAUGUAUGUAACUAUUUAUAUUCUAAACGUAAUUUAUUUAGAAAGCGGUUGUAAGAUUACCUUUGGUGAAAAAUAACUUAUUCUGCACCUGGAUGACGAAUAGUAACAUGUUAAAAUAUUCAAAAUGUUUUAUAACUCAGAACAGAGGUGAUACUCCCCAAAAGAAGUGGUCUAGUUUAAGAAUGCUACUUGUUGGCUACUACCUCCGUCCUCAUUUAUUAGUCCCCUUUCGUAAUCUAUGCCACAUUUUGAUCUUAAAUUUAACUAACAAAAUGUUAAUGCAUGUCAUAAAAGAUAAUAUAAUUAAAAAACUAUGUUCAAAUAUUUUGUUAGUUAAAUCUCUAGUCAAAAUUUGGCCUAAAAUACAAAGUGAACUCAUAAACUAGGACGGAGGUAGUACAUGCUAAAACAGAAAAAACUACUCCCUCCGUUCCAUAAUAUAAGACGGUUUUUGGCACUACACUAGUGUUAAAAAACGUCUUAUAUUAUGGGACGGAGCGAGUAUAUUUUUUUGUUUUUAUACCAAAUUUUACAUAUUGAAUCAAUAUGUAUGUAACUAUUUAUAUUCUAAACGUAAUUUAUUUAGAAAGCGGUCGUAAGAUUACCUCGGGUGAAGAAUAACUUAUUCUGCACCUGGAUGAUGAAUAGUAACAUGUUAAAAUAUUCAAAAUGUCUUAUAACUCAGAACAGAGGUGAUACUUUCCAAAAGAAGUGGUCUAGUUUAAGAAUGCUACUUGUUGGCUACUACCUCCGUCCUGAUUUGUUAGUCCCCUUUCGUAACCUAUGCCACAUUUUGAUCUUAAAUUUAACUAACAAAAUGUUAAUGCAUGUCAUAAAAGAUAAUAUAAUUGAAAACUAUGUUCAAAUAUUUUGUUACUUAAAUCUCUAGUCAAAAUUUGGCCUAAAAUACAAAGGGAACUUAUAAACCAGGACGGAGGUGGUACAUGCUAAAACAGAAAAAAAACUACUCCCUCCGUUCCAUAAUGUAAGACGUUUUUUGGCACUACACUAGUGUUAAAAAUCGUCUUAUAUUAUGGGACGGAGAGAGUAUAUUUUUGUGUUUUUAUACCAAAUGUUACAUAUUGAAUCAAUAUGUAUGUAACUAUUUAUAUUCUAAACGUAAUUUAUUUAGAAAGCAGUCGUAAGAUUACCUCGGGUGAAGAAUAACUUAUUUUGCACCUGGAUGACGAAUAGUAACAUGUUAAAAUAUUCAAAAUGUCUUAUAACUAAGAACAGAGGUGAUACUCCUCAAAAGAAGGGGUCUAGUUUAAGAAUGUACUUGUUGGCUACUACCUCCGUCCUGAUUUAUUAGUCCCGUUUCGUAAUCUAUGCCACAUUUUGAUCUUAAAUUUAACUAACAAAAUGUUAAUGCAUGUCAUAAAAGACAAUAUAAUUGAAAACUAUGUUCAAAUAUUUUGUUAGUUAAAUCUCUAGUCAAAAUUUGGCCUAAAAUACAAAGGGAACUUACAAACCAGGACGGAGUUAGUACAUGCUAAAACAGAAAAACCACUCCCUCCGUUCCAUAAUGUAAGACGUUUUUUGGCACUACACUAGUGUUAAAAAACGUCUUACAUUAUGGGACGGAGAGAGUAUAUUUUUGUGUUUUUAUACCAAAUUUUACAUAUUGAAUCAAUAUGUAUGUAACUAUUUAUAUUCUAAACGUAAUUUAUUUAAAUAGCGGUCGUAAGAUUACCUCGGGUGAAGAAUAACUUAUUAUGCACCUGGAUGACGAAUAGUAACAUGUUAAAAUAUUCAAAAUGUCUUAUAACUAAGAACAGAGGUGAUACUCCCCAAAAUAAAGUCGUCUAGUUUAAGAAUGUUACUUGUUGGCUACUACCUCCAUCCUGAUUUAUUAGUCCCCUUUCGUAAUCUAUGUCAAAUUUUGAUCUUAAAUUUGUCAAGCAAAAUGUUAAUGCAUGUCAUAAAAGAUAAUAUAAUUGGAAACUAUGUUCAAAUAUUUUGUUAGUUAAAUCUCUAGUCAAAAUUUGGCAUAAAAUACGAAGGGAACUUACAAACCAGGACGGAGGUAGUACAUACUAAAACAGAAAAAACUACUCCCUUCGUUCCAUAAUGUAAGACGUUUUUUGGCACUACACUAGUGUUAAAUAACGUCUUAUAUUAUGGGAUGGAAGAGUAUAUUUUUGUGUUUUCAUACCAAAUUUUACAUAUUGAAUCAAUAUGUAUGUAACUAUUUAUAUUCUAAACAUAAUUUAUUUAGAAAGCGGUCGUAAGAUUACCUCGGGUGAAGAAUACCUUAUUAUGCACCUGGAUGACGAAUAGUAACAUGUUAAAAUAUUCAAAAUGUCUUAUAACUCAGAACAGAGGUGAUACUCCCCAAAAGAACUGGUCUAGUUUAAGAAUGCUACUUGUUGGCUACUACCUCCGUCCUGUUUUAUUAGUCCCCUUUCGUAAUCUAUGCCACAUUUUGAUCUUAAGUUUAACUAACAAAAUGUUAAUGCAUGUCAUAAAAGAUAUUAUAAUUGAAAACUAUGUUCAAAUAUUUUGUCAGUUAAAUCUUUAGUCAAAAUUUGGCCUAAAAUACAAAGUGAACUUAUAAAUCAGGACGGAGGUAGUACAUGCUAAAACAGAAAAAACUACUCCCUCCGUUCCAUAGUGUAAGACGUGUUUUGGCACUACACUAGUGUUAAAAAACGUCUUAUAUUAUGGGACGGAGAGAGUAUAUUUUUGUGUUUUUAUACCAAAUUUUACAUAUUGAAUCAAUAUGUGUGUGACUAUUUAUAUUCUAAAUGUAAUUUAUUUAAAAAGCGGUCGUAAGAUUACCUGGGGUGAAGAAUAACUUAUUAUGCACCUGGAUGACGAAUAGUAAAAUGUUAAAAUAUUCAAAAUGUCUUAUAACUCAGAACAGAGGUGAUACUCCCCAAAAAAAGUGGUCUAGUUUAAGAAUGCUACUUGUUGGCUACUACCUCCGUCCUGAUUUAUUAGUCCCCUUUCGUAAUCUAUGCCACAUUUUGAUCUUAAAUUUAACUAAUAAAAUGUUAAUGCAUGUCAUAAAAGAUAAUAUAAUUGAAAACUAUGUUCAAAUAUUUUGUUAGUUAAAUCUCUAGUCAAAAUUUCGCCUAAAAUACAAAGAGAACUUAUAAACCAGGACGGGGUAGUACAUGUUAAAACAGAAAAAACUACUCCCUCCGUUCCAUAAUAUAAGACGUUUUUUGGCACUACACUAGUGUUAAAAAACGUCUUAUAUUAUGGAACGGAGAGAGUAUAUUUUUGUGUUUUUAUACCAAAUUUUACAUAUUGAAUCAAUACGUAUGUAACUAUUUAUAUUCUAAACGUAAUUUAUUUAGAAAGCGGUCGUAAGAUUACCUCGGGUGAAGAAUAACUUAUUCUGCACCUGGAUGACGAAUAGUAACAUGUUAAGAUAUUCAAAAUGUCUUCUAACUCAGAACAGAGGUGAUACUCCCCAAAAGAAGUGGUCUAGUUUAAGAAUGCUACUUGUUGGCUACUACCUCCGUCCUGAUUUAUUAGUCCCCUUUCGUAAUCUAUGCUACAUUUUGAUCUUAAAUUUUAACUAACAAAAUGUUAAUGCAUGUCAUAAAAGAUAAUAUAAUUGAAAACUAUGUUCAAAUAUUUUGUUCUUUAAAUCUCUAGUCAAAAUUGGCCUAAAAUACAAAGGGAACUUAUAAACCAGGACGGAGGUAGUACAUGCUAAAACAGAAAAAACCACUCCAUCCGUUCCAUAAUGUAAGCCGUUUUUUGGCACUACACUAGUGUUAAAAAAUGUCUUAUAUUAUGGGACGGAGAGAGUAUAUUUUUGUGUUUUUAUACCAAAUUUUACAUAUUGAAUAAAUAUGUAUGUAACUAUUUAUAUUGUAAACGUAAUUUACUUAGAAAGCGGUCGUAAGAUUACGUCGGGUGAAGAAUAAUUUAUUAUGCACCUGGAUGACGAAUAGUAACAUGUUAAAAUAUUCAAAAUGUCUUAUAACUCAGAACAGAGGUGAUACUCCCCAAAAGAAGUGGUCUAGUUUAAGAAUGCUACUUGUUGGCUACUACCUCCGUCCUGAUUUAUUAGUCCCGUUUCGUAAUCUAUGCCACAUUUUGAUCUUAAAUUUAACUAACAAAAUGUUAAUGCAUGUCAUAAAAGAUAAUAUAAUUGAAAACUAUGUUCAAAUAUUUUGUUAGUUAAAUCUCUAGUCAAAAUUUGGCCUAAAAUACAAAGGGAACUUACAAACCAGGACGGAGGUAGUACAUGCUAAAACAAAAGAAACUACUCCCUCCGUUCCAUAAUGUAAGACGUUUUUUGGCACUACACUAGUGUUAAAAAACGUCUUAUAUUAUGGGACGGAGAGAGUAUAUUUUUGUGUUUUUAUACCAAAUUUCACAUAUUGAAUCAAUAUGUAUGUAACUAUUUAUAUUCUAAAUGUAAUUUAUUUAGAAAGCGGUCGUAAAAUUACCUCGGGUGAAGAAUAACUUAUUCUGAACCUGGAUGACGAAUAAUAACAUGUUAAAAUAUUCAAAAUGUCUUAUAACUCAGAACAGAGGUGAUACUCCCCAAAAGAAGUGGUCUAGUUUAAGAAUGCUACUUGUUGGCUACUACCUCCGUCCUGAUUUAUUAGUCCCGUUUCGUAAUCUAUGCCACAUUUUGAUCUUAAAUUUAACUAACAAAAUGUUAAUGCAUGUCACAAAAGAUAAUAUAAUUGAAAACUAUGUUCAAAUAUUUUGUUAGUUAAAUCUCUAGUCAAAAUUUGGCCUAAAAUACAAAGGGAACUUACAAACCAGGACGGAGGUAGUACAUGCUAAAACAGAAAAAACUACUCCCUCCGUUCCAUAAUGUAAGACGUUUUUUGGCACUACACUAGUGUUAAAAAACGUCUUAUAUUAUGGGAUGGAGAGAGUAUAUUUUUGUGUUUUUAUACCAAAUUUUACAUAUUGAAUCAAUAUGUAUGUAACUAUUUAUAUUCUAAACGUAAUUUAUUUAAAAAGCGGUCGUAAGAUUACCUCGGGUGAAGAAUAACUUAUUCUGCACCUGGAUGACGAAUAGUAACAUGUUAAAAUAUUCAAAAUGUCUUAUAACUCAGAACAGAGGUGAUACUCCCCAAAAGAAGUGGUCUAGUUUAAGAAUGUUACUUGUUGGCUACUACCUCCAUCCUGAUUUAUUAGUCCCCUUUCGUAAUCUAUGUCAAAUUUUGAUCUUAAAUUUAUCUAGCAAAAUGUUAAUGCAUGUCAUAAAAGAUAAUAUAAUUGGAAACUAUGUUCAAAUAUUUUGUUAGUUAAAUCUCUAGUCAAAAUUUCGCCUAAAAUACAAAGGGAACUUAUAAACCAGGACGGAGGUAGUACAUGCUAAAACAAAAGAAACUACUCCCUCCGUUCCAUAAUCUAAGACGUUUUUUGGCACUACACUAGUGUUAAAAACGUCUUAUAUUAUGGGACGGAGAGAGUAUAUUUUUGUGUUUUUAUACCAAAUUUACAUAUUGAAUCAAUAUGUAUGUAACUAUUUAUAUUCUAAACGUAAUUUAUUUAGAAAGCGGUUGUAAGAUUACCUUUGGUGAAAAAUAACUUAUUCUGCACCUGGAUGACGAAUAGUAACAUGUUAAAAUAUUCAAAAUGUCUUAUAACUCAGAACAGAGGUGAUACUCCCCAAAAGAAGUGGUCUAGUUUAAGAAUGCUACUUGUUGGCUACUACCUCCGUCCUCAUUUAUUAGUCCCCUUUCGUAAUCUAUGCCACAUUUUGAUCUUAAAUUUAACUAACAAAAUGUUAAUGCAUGUCAUAAAAGAUAAUAUAAUUAAAAAACUAUGUUCAAAUAUUUUGUUAGUUAAAUCUCUAGUCAAAAUUUGGCCUAAAAUACAAAGUGAACUUAUAAACUAGGACGGAGGUAGUACAUGCUAAAACAGAAAAAACUACUCCCUCCGUUCCAUAAUAUAAGACGGUUUUUGGCACUACACUAGUGUUAAAAAACGUCUUAUAUUAUGGGACGGAGCGAGUAUAUUUUUUUGUUUUUAUACCAAAUUUUACAUAUUGAAUCAAUAUGUAUGUAACUAUUUAUAUUCUAAACGUAAUUUAUUUAGAAAGCGGUCGUAAGAUUACCUCGGGUGAAGAAUAACUUAUUCUGCACCUGGAUGAUGAAUAGUAACAUGUUAAAAUAUUCAAAAUGUCUUAUAACUCAGAACAGAGGUGAUACUUUCCAAAAGAAGUGGUCUAGUUUAAGAAUGCUACUUGUUGGCUACUACCUCCGUCCUGAUUUGUUAGUCCCCUUUCGUAACCUAUGCCACAUUUUGAUCUUAAAUUUAACUAACAAAAUGUUAAUGCAUGUCAUAAAAGAUAAUAUAAUUGAAAACUAUGUUCAAAUAUUUUGUUACUUAAAUCUCUAGUCAAAAUUUGGCCUAAAAUACAAAGGGAACUUAUAAACCAGGACGGAGGUGGUACAUGCUAAAACAGAAAAAAACUACUCCCUCCGUUCCAUAAUGUAAGACGUUUUUUGGCACUACACUAGUGUUAAAAAACGUCUUAUAUUAUGGGACGGAGAGAGUAUAUUUUUGUGUUUUUAUACCAAAUGUUACAUAUUGAAUCAAUAUGUAUGUAACUAUUUAUAUUCUAAACGUAAUUUUUUUAGAAAGCGGUCGUAAGAUUACCUCGGGUGAAGAAUAACUUAUUCUGCACCUGGAUGACAAAUAGUAACAUGUUAAAAUAUUCAAAAUGUCUUAUAACUCAGAGUAGAGGUGAUACUCCCCAAAAGAAGUGGUCUAGUUUAAGAAUGCUACUUGUUGGCUACUACCUCCGUCCUGAUUUAUUAGUCCCAUUUCGUAAUCUAUGCCACAUUUUGAUCUUAAAUUUAACUAACAAAAUGUUAAUGCAUGUCAUAAAAGAUAAUAUAAUUGAAAACUAUGUUCAAAUAUUUUGUUAGUUAAAUCUCUAGUCAAAAUUUGGCCUAAAAUACAAAGGGAAUUUAUAACCAGGACGGAGGUAGUACAUGCUAAAACAGAAAAAACUACUUCCAUAAUGUAAGACGUUUUUUGGCACUACACUAGUGUUAAAAAACGUCUUAUAUUAUGGGACGGAGAGAGUAUAUUUUUGUGUUUUAUACCAAAUUUUACAUAUUGAAUCAAUAUGUAUGUAACUAUUUAUAUUCUAAACGUAAUUUAUUUAGAAAGCGGUCGUAAGAUUACCUCGGGUGAAGAAUAAGUUAUUUUGCACCUGGAUGACCAAUAGUCACAUGUUAAAAUAUUCAGAAUGUCUUAUAACUCAGAACAGAGGUGAUACUCCCCAAAAGAAGUGGUCUAGUUUAAGAAUGCUACUUGUUGGCUACUACCUCCGUCCUGAUUUAUUAGUCCCGUUUCGUAAUCUAUGCCACAUUUUGAUCUUAAAUUUAACUAACAAAAUGUUAAUGCAUGUCAUAAAAGAUAAUAUAAUUAAAAACUAUGUUCAAAUAUUUUGUUAGUUAAAUCUCUAGUCAAAGUUUGGCCUAAAAUACAAAGGGAACUUAUAAACCAGGACGGAGGUAGUACAUUGCUAAAACAGAAAAAACUACUCCCUCCAUUCCAAAAUAUAAGUCUUUGUAGUGAUUCCACUAGGUGGACUACAUACGGAACAAAAUGAAUGAAUCUAAACUUAAAAUGCAUCUACCUAUGCGGUUUAUAGUGGAAUCUCUACAAAGACUUACAUUUAAGAACGGAGGGAGUAUAUCCUAAAUCCGUACAGCUCAAACCGGUGCCACAGCCCCUCAAAAAAAAAAGGGUGCCACAGCCCACCUUUUUUUAGGGUUAGUGUCACAGCCCACCUUUUCUUUCUUUUUUUCCUGUGGAAUAACCCGGCGUGUGCUACAGCUCGCUCGGCCUUUAGGCCCAAAGCUUGGGCCUCGGACGUCUUUCGCAGUCCCAGCCCACGCGCGCCACUCCGUGUGACAGGGCAGGGCCAGCCAUCGCGUCGCCGUCGCCGCACGUUGCUGUGUAGCCGCCCACGCUCGCCAGCAACAAGUUCCAUCUCCGUUACGUUGCUCUGUCGUGGCCGCACUGCCUCGUCAGCAUGUUUUGAAUUUCAGUUUCACCAAAAUUUCAGGACCAACCGGAAUCACCGAAAUUCAGUUUCUUUUUUUUUNNNNNNNNNNNNNNNNNNNNNNNNNNNNNNNNNNNNNNNNNNNNNNNNNNNNNNNNNNNNNNNNNNNNNNNNNNNNNNNNNNNNNNNNNNNNNNNNNNNNGCCGUACGUGGAAGAAUACACCGGUGAGGGGAGGGCGGUCGGACAAAAGCGGUCGCCGAGAGCGCGCGGUCGGUGACAGAGGGGGUGGCGAGAGGGGGGAGGAGCAGCGGAGGGGGGAGGAGCAGUGGAGGAGGGAGGAGCAUCGGAGGAGCAUUACCUGCGGCGGCGGUGCCGGUGGCGCGCGGUGGCUGGGGGAGAAACCCUAACCGUUGCUCGGGCAGAUCGAAAGUGAGGGGUGCGGGGGGCGGCCGUACGUGCAGGCCUACUAGCUGUAGUAGUAGUGCUGCAUAUGGGCCGGCGCUACUAGUAAGCCCACUAGCUGUAGCGCCGGUGGUUAGCCCACGCUACAGCUAAGUGGGCUACAGUUUUUGGCCCUGCGGCCCACAUAACAACAGUGCAGCCCAUGCUAACCAACGCUGCUGCUAACCCAUGCCAGUAGCGUGUUUUGCACCCAGCGCUAGUGGUAAUUACCAGUAGCGUGGGGGCCCAAACAAACGCUACUGCUAGACUUCUAUCUAUAAGCAUUUUCCUAGUAGUGGCAAGACGAAGCCACCCCACCUCCUGCCUCUGUCUUCCAGUGCUGCUCCACAAACGAUGCUCCCAAGAGAGAAAGAACACCGCAGUACCACCAUCGUCCGAUCUGGAAGACCAAAUCCUAGAGUUUCCCCCGGAGCAGCACGAGUGGGUCGACAGUCGUUGCACGACGAUGCCUUCAUCAAGGUAACAUUGCAUAACGCCGCCAUCAUCUGCCAUCCGCUCGGUUUUCACCGGCAACUAUGUCCUCCCGACUCGCAGUCGGAACUAGAUGACGAAUCUCAAGAUCCGAUCAUCCAGCCUCAGGCCGACCACUUCGGACGGAGGAGGUGGCCACCAUCGCCGGCUGCACCGGCUAAAAUAGAUCUGACCAGAGGUGCCGCCAAGUAGCACACCAGGCCCUCCACGCCGCCAGUGAUCCGAAGCUAGAUGACGCACCGCCACAGUGGGCUGCCCGACGCGCCGCAGUCACCAUCGCCCGUGACAGGGCUAGCCACCGCCGUCGCCGCCGAAUCUACCGUGCCUCCACACGCGCAAGGGCUCCACAUCACCCGUGAGACGCGAAGAGAGGAGCAUCCCGGCAGCGUCCUCCAGCAACGGCGGGGUGAGGGAAAGUGGAUUCGGCCCCGAAGGCGGCUAGGGCUGGGGAACUGCCCGAGCCGCCCUAGUUUUUUUAUGAGCCGCCCUAGUUGGCACGACGCGGGGGUCGGGUCCCGUCCGUAUGGAAGUAUGAAACUGGGCUCCCCACGAAGCAUAUGAAUCCGCUAGCAACAGAUACCUGACCGCCACGUAUUUACAUGUCAAAGGUGGUUGAUUCGUUGCGAACCAACCACCAGGUGGUAUCCCCAGCCCACCAGGGUUCAAAUCCGGGUGCUCGCAUUUAUACCUAGAUUUAUUUCAGGAUUUCCGGUGACGCGCAUUCAGUGGGAGGAGACGUUCCCAUUGACGACGAGGUGCCUACGGUGACUUCGUAAAUCUCAAGAUGAUAUGCCGGCUCAGUCUUUCAGAGGUGCUCAUAGGGGUAGGAUGUGUGUGUGCGCGUUCAUAGGGGUGAGUGUAUGCGCGUGUAUAUGAGCUUGUGUCUGUACUGAUGUUAAAAAAAAGGUGGUUGAUUCGUUCGUCUUUAGAAUUGCUCAACUUGACCACGUGACAUAUGUGAUAAGUUAAUCAAAACUAUUUUAUAAAAAUAAUUGCUCAACUUGUUUUGUUUAUCUCGUAGCAUCCUUUACAGCGUGAGUCAGUAGUGCCGAUUUUUUUUAGAAAAACUGAACAUAACUAUGAAGUAGUACCAUCGAGAAUGGAAUAUGCACGUGUUAGGCCUACGUGGGCGUACGUAUCGGUAGGUAGCUAUCUAUUUACAGAGUGCCGGUUGUUGUUUAUAGUACAAGAUUAACAAGGUGUUGCAUGUUAUAUAGCUCAGCUCUACGCCUCGAGUAUGUAGCACCAGAUGUCGCAUCAUGCUCUGUCUCUACACCACGACCUUGUAGCACUUGUGUAUGCUAUCCGAGUAGAUAUAUCCCGAGCCGUCCACGCCGUGGCCCGCGCUGUAGCUGUUAAGAUACUCAAAAUACCUCUCGGGCAUGCUCAGCUCGGCCUCCGUGGAAACCUCCUCCAGCGCCGGAUAUGCUAGACCGUGGUUGGUCAGCACGACACAGUGCGACUCGUGCAUCGGCUUCUUCUCGUCACUGCCGCUGCCGCUGAUUGACUCCUGGUAGACAACAUCCUCUGCAAGAAGGUACCGACAAACACGUAGCUUAUCUCUUAUUCUGAACCCUUUGCCAUCUUCUGAUGACAUGAAAUCAAACACCAACUUCUUCAAGUGGUCGUGGGAUAGUCUAACAUUAAACUCGCGAUUCUUUCUACGGCCUCGACGUGCAUACUUCACUUUAAAGCCGCACUCCAUGAUACCAAGGGUCGCAUGGUAAGCACAAUCUCCUGUGCAUCGGUUAGGCAAGUCAGUUUUUAGUUGUUACAAAUGAAUGAAGACUUCAAAAACACUACAGACGGACUCAUAGGAUUGUGAUGACAUACUCUAACCUUCACGGUUCAAUUCCCAGACUCACAUUUACUGGAUUUUCGUUUCUUCCACCAAAAACAAAAACAUGUCCGGGUGGUGUGUGCCAUUAAAAAAACAGAAAAAAAAUGAGCAUGUAACGAAUAUCAAUUUAAAUAGUACAUGGAACAGUAUAGCAUCUUGAGUGGGAAAUGCAUGGAGCUCUCACGUGCCACACACCCCUAUAUGAAUAUAGUAUUAAGAAAAUAGCUGAAAAUCCUCAUCCAGAGUAAAAGUUUGAUAUCCAAAAAUAUCCGUUUUUUUUUGGAAUUUCCUGGUAUUUCUUAUAAUAUUAUAUUUAAUAUGGGUGUGUGUGGGGGGCACCCGAGAGCCACAAAUCCUCAUCCAGAGUAAAAGUUCGAAAUAAACUACAGACUAAAAGUGCGACAAUAUAUUACAAAAGUGCAAAUUAAAUAGAAGGAAUGAGCAUAUAAAAUAAAUAGCGAUUAAAAUAAUACUCCUACAUGUAACAGUACAGCAUUAUCUAAAGUGCAAUAGUUCAAAAUGAAUGAGUAAAAUGCAAUAAUAUUACAAAUGUGUAAAAUUAAAUUGAACGAAUGAACAGAAGAAUUAAAUACACGGUUAUGAAUACUGGAAUAUCAAAAUUCACUCUUCACAAGUUCAUAUUGAUGCAUGCUCCCACAGGCUGACACGGUUGGCACAUGGACAUGUAGUUAUGAUUCGGCCUUAAUGACCGUCUCGUUUUCCCUAUCCGUGACUUCACACGUUCACAUUCUAGCAUUAAUCUGUGUGGAGCGACCCCCAACACCACAGUCUCGACAUCUAAAUACAUUCCCCAAAUAUUUGAACUUCAACAGAUUUUUACACAAAAUGUUCGAUCCACAAACCGUUUGAAAGCUCAUUAUCAGGUCUUUAAAAUAAGACCAAUCUUGGACAAUUUUUUUCAACUAACAGGAUCAAUCUUGCAUAUAUUUGAUCAACUUUGAACAUUUCAUUUUUAAACUAGACAUUAGGGUCGCCAAAACGGAGUGAACAAAUUGUAUAGAGCAAGUCUGGACAUGUAGAUGCGCAAAUCGGAUGAUUAGGGCAGCAAGAUGCAGUGGACAACGGUCUACUAAUGCAGACAAGUAGUGAAGCGAGCGACAAUGUUUGGGGCUGCAAGAUGAAAUGGGCCACGGCGUAAAGCGAUGCCCAACACAAAGUCGAACAAACGAGCUCUUGCAAAAGAGAGCAUGUUUCAUUCUGAUAGAAGGAGAUGGAGGUUGCAAAUGUUGACAGCAAGUAGUACUACAUGGGACAUAAAAAUAAUACUCUAUCCGUUCAAUAUAGAAGGCUUGUUUAGAAAAUUAAAGGAGUACUUUGACAUUAACCAUCUGCUUAUUGUUUCUUAAGCAUCUGAUUAUGUAUUAAAUCUUCCACACUAUCUUCCGUCUAGCCUCGUCGAUGCUCAGAGUAGUGAGGAUCCGUCCAUUUUCUUUAUUCUUGUCACUUCCAAUAGGUCUUUGAUUUCCCUUGGUUUUUGUUUUCUGGCGGCAUCAGUGAGGUGGUGGCGGCAAUGAUGCACUACCUCGACUAUAUCUGUUUCAACAGUCACAAAUGGACUGUGAUGGUGGGUGAUGCUAGAUCUGUGGGCUCUCUUUGGUUCUUAGCAAUUGGGGUGCCAAUCAAGGAGAGUAGUUGGCUGGCUUUUAGUGUGGCGACCUUGAUCUGUUCUGUAGCAAGGUCCGGUGUCUCCAACCAUCUAUAUAGUUGGUUGGUGAAGAAUUGCAAGCCUAAGCUGUAUGGGAUGGUGCCCUAACCGAUGUUUCUUUGGCAGAUCCUAGAUCUUGCUGGAAGUGGGUGUCUGUUGUGGACUCAAAGCCUUGAAUGGUGGGGUGUUUGCAGGUGCCUCUCUCCCUAGUGUAUUUUCAAGAUUCGGCAGAUGGUGUACAACAAAGAAAAAAGACUGACCAAUAUGGUUUCCAUUGUAAUUUCAUUUUCUACUCAUCGCUUUAUGUCAUGGCGUCUUACCAUUGUACUGACUACUAUUUUCCUUGAUGAAUAUAAAAUAUGAGACGCCCUUCAAAGGGCUUUUCUCAAAAGAAAAAUAUUAAGAGUUUUCGAACAACCUAUCACGGUGCCGCAACAUGCAUGCCUUUGACUAGUUGCAAUGGUCACCUGUCAAGAUGGCAACGAGGACCAAACCAGCCGGUUUUUGCAUGCCCAUUCCCGUCCACGCUAGAAAACCACAAGCCUGUCCCCGCCCCCGUCUCGGUGCACAGGGCUGUUUUUUGCCUGUCACUUAAACCCGUCGAGUUUUCUCUACCCACGGGGAACCCGUCCCCGCGAGCAGUCAACAAAAACAGCAACAUUUCUCAAGAAAAUAGGAGUAUAUUUCAGCAAUAUGUAGAUUGGUAUAAGAAAUGUGCAACUGGUCAUGUGGAGGUGGCAGCUGCAGGCGGGAUGGGAAAAAUACGGGCGGGNNNNNNNNNNGUUAAAGCAGGAUGUUAGGUUUUGGUUGGAUCAUGUCCAUUCCAUGGCCUAUAUGUCGGUAGCUUCACGGUUAUGGCAGGUUUCGGGUUCAAGUACUACUACAACGAGUUUCAACCCGCGAAACAAGCCAGGUUUGAUAGUUUACCCAACAACGGUCCCGUGGGGUAAGAAACAUGCCCAUCCCCAUCCCUAAUAGGGUAAAAUCCCAUGGGAACGCAUGUUAUAGGGCCCCAUUGCCAUCUUGAGUCACAUGCAUAGUUAAGAGGCCCCUUUGAUUCCAUGUAUAGUUAAGAGGACCCUUUGAUUAGCAGGAUUCUUAAACCCACAAAUAUGGACAAACAUAAGACUAUGUGCCCCCUCCUUUGAUUCUCAUGAUUCUUAAAAUGUUUAAAUAGGAAAAUAUAUAGGAUUAGAGUGUCCCUAAAAGACCAGGAAACUAUAGGAAUUUGGAUAAAGGAGUGUUUGAGUUUGUACCAAGAGGUUUGAGUUUGAGUGGAUGAAAUAUAUUUUCUAUAAUGCAACGAAAUCCUAAAGUAGGAUUCUAAUCCUGUGGAUCAAAUGGCCAAAGUAAGAUUUUUUUAAAGAUAUAAAUCCUUUGAAAUUCAUGUAAAAUUCCUUUUUGAAUCAAAAGAUCCUCGAACUGCAAGGCCUGGAUGCAUUGGCUUACAUUAGUACCAAGAUUUGCAAAUGCAAAACAAGCCUUGUAUAUUUGAAUUUCCCAUUUCUAGAGAUAUGUAUUGUAAACCUGAGAGUACACACUGAUUCAAAGAAUAAAAUAGGAAGUACGAUAAAUAAAAUAAUGGAAUUCAAGUAUAAAAUACAAAAUACCAAAGAAUAGAAUGAGAUAUUAUCAACUAGAAUACCAUGAAGUAGAUAAAAAUUGCAUAUAGCACACAGUAGAUUAAAGAAUAGUGUAAGCCAUAUAAAUAAAAUAUUAAUAAAAUGAAUUAUUACAAUUUUCUGAUGGAAGUAACAAUGUCAUAUUACAAAUUCAUUACCAAGUUGGUAAUGGAUAAAAAAAUGACCUUAAAACUACAAAAAAAAUAUUACAACCUCUAAAGCUGGAUACUCUCCUGCUACACUAAGAGGUAGGCUAAAACAACUUCCUCGCCUAGAGGCCAAAAGGUGCCAAGUUGUCAAUUUAAGGCAUCCCUGUUCAGACUUCAUCUUUUGAAGCUUUGAGCCCUCAUGAAAACACAAACCGACAAACACCUGAUUUUUGUACGUAACCAGUACCACAAUAACUUCUCUUCUCCAUCCAGCACAGCCUCUCAGAUAGGACCCACAUUCAGUCUCUAAGAUUUGUACCUCUAAAUCAGGCGCCAUAGAGAGUAUGGCCUUGCCACCAAAACAGUUGCUCCCUCCAAUCCAAAUUACUUGUCGCAUUGGAUGCAUCUAGACGUAUUUCAGUUCUAGAUACAUCUCUUUGAGUGGCAACUAAUAUGGAUCAGAGGGUAUUUUUUUUUGAUAGCCCUUUUGAGUAUUUAAUUCAUUUUGAGCAUUAUGUGGAUUAACCAAAUCACCACAACAAGCCAUACGGUUUGUGUGUGUUAUUGUAGGGAUGCAUGUUACAAAUCGGCAAUAUAAGAAACUAAGUGCCACAAAACAGAUGAAUAGGAUUAAGCAUCAUGUGGAUUCCCUGGAUGGCCUCCAGCAAACCAGUUACAUCGUGGUUGCUUGUGGUAACAAAAAACAACUAAUCUAGCAAGUCAUACUUAGAAAAAACAAAUAAUGAUGAGUCUGGAUAAUCUCCUACCUUAACGAUCUUAACUUAAUUACAAGUUGGACAUGUUGUAGGAUCGCAAGCUUAAGAGCAACUUUUUUCUGUAUAAGAUCGACCAUCUAGUUUGCCACGUACUACCAGUUUGCAUACACAGUAUGUAGCCUCACUGCGUUAUGACAGUAGAGACCUUAAUUAGAAUGCAAGUGGAUUGUAUUGCUAAAUGCCUGCCAAAGUUCGGCCACAUUGUAAAAACCAAAGCCAAUAUUGUGAGUGCACUCGUACUUAGUCAAUGCACCACCCUUAAAUGUGUUGUGGUGAUACUAAAGGGCACAUGAGCUAUUCCAAGACCUGGCCCACUAGGUCGGCGAACUGAGCACAUCAGAUAGCGCAGGCGGCAGCGAGGAUGUGGAAAUUGGAUGAGUCAAAAGAGACUAGAUGGUGGCUCAGGCAUCGGCGAGCUAGUGGUGAGUAGGGGAUCUGGCAUGGUAUCUAGUCUGUUCAUGUUGGUUAAAUCAUUGAUAGUCGUGCGAGUGCGGUUGUAAGGCCAACUCCAAGGCACGAUCCAGGCGGACGUCCAAUUUGCCCGGAUUUUAUCUGUUUAGGUCGGCAAAACGGAUAGCAGACAGAAGGACACGUCCGGACAUGGUCUUUGUACCUAACGGUGCUACAGCAUUUGGGAUGUCCUCCACGGGUAUUUCAUCAAACACCUGGCAGGCACAGUAGCUCCUCCACGACAUCGUGGCCGGGCGCGGCCCUUCGUGCCGCAUGCAUAGCAACGCCCGCCUGCAGGGUCCUCAGGACGCGUCGGCACCCAGCGGCGCCACCUCAUUCCACCGCCGGCCACCCUCCUCUGCUUGGCGCUGGUGGGAGUAGUGCGUGGCGUGGCUGCGGGCGUGCGCACGGGAGUAGUGCGCGGGCCGGCCAUGGGUCAGCUUCCAGCAGCACGUCACCAAGAACGGCGGGGGCAUGUCGCCAUCAUCGAGGAGAUACACGGGCUCAUCCGCGUGUACAAGGACAUGCACAUAUAGCGCCUGCCAGCUAUCCUGAUGCCCCCUUCAUGGGGGUGUGGGCAUGCCUGUACGUGCUGCCGCUGCAGCAGGAAGGUCCCCGUGGUGGUGUACUUCCAUGGUAGCAGGUUCAGCGGCGGCUCUGCCACGUGGAGCUGCUACCACAAGUUCGUUGCUCAGCUCCCCAGCCGUGAUGUCGUCGACUACCGCCUCACACUGGAGAACCGCCUGCCCGCCGCGUUCGACGACAAGGACGCACGGCAGCGGCAGAGCAUCCAUGGCCGCGGCGACGAUGAGGAUGCGCAGCAGCAGCAAGGCAUCCAUGGCCGGCAUGGUGGGAGGAGAAAUAGAGAAAAAGAGGAUUGCUGGCGAGGCGCAUUGAUGGACACUAGUGGAUUUUUGGAUUUGGCUCUCUGCCAGAUAUGUCUAUGUGAUUGGGGCUGGGUGGCGGCAUACAAUUCCGAUGCAGAGACGGCUCUAUGGGGUAGGGUCAUGGUUCAGCAUGGCAGGCGCGGUGAUGUUGUGAACUUGUGAUGCAAGGGUCCCUUGUUUUGGCUCAAAAAUUGACAAAGCCAUGUUUCCGCUCAAAUUUGGCUCACACCAACUUGGUCAUCAUUUAGCUUGCUGAUAUUUGCGGUUUUCCAGUUUCUACUAACAUUUAGUUCAGACAUACACCACACUCACAUCAUCACAAAGGACACACACAUUAUGGCAUGUUUAGUGUGCAUGACUUACCUGGCUCCUGCCUCCUUGGUGGUGGGAUAAUAUGCAAGCCACGGAAAGGCCUUUUCCUCCAACUGAAUAUGAAAUUGAAGUCGGCUCGCUGAAAAUUCUUGUAUACUGUAAAAAUAUAAGCAAUACUAAGUAACAGAAGCAUAUUAACAACAAUCUGAAACAAUAAGUACAAGUAAAAAGAUCAUACUAUAUGAUUGUAUGUGGCAUAUUUCUGUAGAGGCGGAGUCUAGACCAACCCCCAACAUUUCCUAAAAAUGUCAUAAAAAGGGUAGCCUCUUUAUUUGAUGUCAAUACAUGGUUGACUGCUACAGACUGUACAAAGAGCUAGAACUAAAUGACAUCAGUACCUCUUCAAUCGAGGUGCCAUCAGUUUGCUUCUGCCCAUCAGCCCCAUCCUCUUGGUCCUGACCAUCUGCCUCCAUCUUCGCAGCUUCAGCCUCCUCGGACACUUCAGCCAUCUUGGUGACAAGCUUGGGGAGCACAAACUCAGUAGGAACUUGGCCAGUGCUCAACGCCUGAUAUCACAGUGGCGAAUGGUGCAUGUCAGUACAUAGCAUAGGGUGCUUCAAACUAAACAAUGCGCUGGAGCUAAAUAAUACACGUCAUGUUACCUUCUCAAGCCUUGUAACUUCGUCAAGCAUCUGAGAGUUCAUGAUAGCAGCCUACAGAUGAAAAACAUGUUAAACACAAAUUCACAGCCAGAUGUAUUACAAAGGAAAAUAGAAGAUACUGACAUUUUCAACACGACAUAGAUACGGUAACUGAGUACAAAGGAUGCCUCAGUAACUGGGAUGGACAUGGACAUCAUGGUAAGAAUAAAACAUAUGGAAGUAAAUAUGAAGCCCAUACAGAACAUGCCAGAAAAAGACCUGACCAUUUUCUUUCCCUGAAUGCAACAGUCAAGUAAUAGGGGUUCUACUCAACUUGAAAUAAUGACAUGAACAUGCUAUGUCCAAAACAGAAAGAGGGAGUCAAGUACCUUGAAAGCUGUGAUUUGUGCAGGCGUUGGAGCGACUACUUUAAGACCUUGCUCUUUUGUGGUACCUUGAGCAUCCACCACUGCUGGAGUACGAGCUUUGACAGCAACCUUCUCUGUAGCCUCCUCUGCCUCCUUUGGGUGGAACUUUUUCACUGCUUCAGCUCUCUCCUACAGAAACACAAUCUCAUAUAAAUUUUCAGACACAGAUAAGCAUUCAUGCAACUAAUUCACAGAUAAUCAGUUAAAAGAGUUGCUCUUUUCCCCUUUUUGCUGCCAGCACUUCUGCGGUCAAUUCCAAAAUCAUUUUGGAAAUUAUUCCGAAGGAAAUAAACAAACCUGUGCAGAAUAAAUCAACAAUCAAGCAGCGAUGGGAUUUCUGUGCAAUACCCACAACCUCUAAAAAA
This 47780-nucleotide long non-coding RNA is filed under the name Triticum aestivum (bread wheat). RNAcentral describes it as "long non-coding RNA (TAES_LNC008191)". The stretch from base 24200 to 24286 matches the Rfam family "MIR1120/MIR1122 microRNA precursor family". Lineage: Eukaryota; Viridiplantae; Streptophyta; Magnoliopsida; Poales; Poaceae. The record is from RNAcentral.